RNAcentral lists this long non-coding RNA (65687 nucleotides) under Glycine max (soybean). Its description in RNAcentral is "long non-coding RNA (GMAX_LNC002307)". Lineage: Eukaryota; Viridiplantae; Streptophyta; Magnoliopsida; Fabales; Fabaceae. The record is from RNAcentral.
AGGUUCUUCAAACCUUACCAGGUCAUGCAAAUACUCUGGAUUUUAGUCAAAAAGGCUUGCUUGCUUGCGGUAAUGGUUCAUUGAUACAGAUUCUGCGUGAUGUUUCUGGUACACAAAAUUAUUCCAAGUAUAUGACUCAUUCCAUGGUGAAAGGUUACCAGAUAGGAAAAUUGGUAUUUCGGCCAUAUGAAGAUGUUCUAGGCAUAGGGCAUUCCAUGGGCUGGUCUAGUAUUCUUACUCCAGGAGCAGGAGAACCCAACUUUGACUCAUGGGUUGCAAACCCGUUUGAAACUUCUAAGCAGAGGAGAGAAAAGGAAAUACGGUCUCUUCUUGAUAAGCUUCCACCUGAGACUAUCAUGCUGGAUCCCAGCAAGAUUGGUACGGUGAAACCAAGAAGAGAGAGGCCAACAAAGCAAGAGAGGGAGGCUGAAAUAGAAGCUGGCGUUGAAGCGGCUAAGGGCAUGAAACUGAAAAAGAAGACAAAAGGAAGAAACAAGCCAGGUAAAAGGGUACAGAAAAAGCAAGAGGCAGUUUCUAGAGUGAAGAGGCCCUACUUGGAGCAGAAAAUUCAAGAAGAGGAAAGCAUAUCAAGAAAGAAGCAGAAAACUAGUGAGGAUGUUGAACUACCAAAAUCACUACAGCGCUUUGCUCGUAAAAAAGCAUCAUCAUGAUUUAACUGUCCAAUAGAGUCUCGUAUUCGUCUUUACUUUCCAUCCUGUUGAUUUUAAGCUUCUUGUUUGUAUUUUUUGUUGCAUUUCAUAUUUGUAGCCUUUUUAGCCUUUGAUGUGAUGUUUUCGGCCUUUAAAGUAAAGGCAUGUCCAAAUUUUGCCUUACCGACCCUUGAUUAGAGUCUUUUUUAAUAUUAUAAGAAUCUUUACCUUUACAUAAAAAAUUGACGGGACCGAAUGUUUGGAUUGAUAAAAAGAGAUGUAAUAGAAUGGAAUGAAAUAAAACAAUAAAAUAGAGUAAAACAUAGUAUGAUAAUUUUUUUAGGAUAAAAUGUUUUAGUUUCUAUAUUUUUAGCAAAAUUUGGUUUUAGCCUCUGUAAUUUGAAAUAAUUAGUCCAUGUACACUGAUGACCGAGAGAUAAAAUAGGAAUUAAAUUUACUUAAAAUAGGUGCAGAAUUUAAUUGCCUUGUAUAUGUUUAUAUUUUGUUUUGACCUAACUGGUUGGAUUCAAGUCAAUAUGGGCCAGGUCUUAGAUUAUCCAAAAAAAAAAAAUUGGAGGGAAAACAUUAUAAAUUAAACCUAGUUAGAAAUAUCAAAUUAAAUAUUAGAUCAACCCAAACACAAAUGUGAGUAUAUCUUAAGUUAUUGAUAUAAGUUAGGAAAUACAACAACUGAAAAUAAGUCAAACACAACAACUAUCAAUCCAAAAUCAUUGAUUUUGAAUAGUAAGUGUGAAUAUAUCUGAAGAAGAGAGGACGAAUCAUUGAUUUUGAAUAGUAAGUGUGAAUAUAUCUGAAGAAGAGAGGACCAAGGAUGAUCGGAAGAUGACCAAGAAUGUUUUGUACUCUUUUUACAUUUUUCCCAUACCAGCAUCAAAGUAGGUCCCGUGGAAAAAAAAAUGCAUAAGAUUAGUCAGCGAAACAUUUUUUGGUCUUUGAUUGAAAAUCUCACUGCUAAAGCUGACAUUAGAUAUAUGUUUUUUUUUUAUAUAAAGAAAAAAAUUGCUUUGGUUGAGAACAUGCAGUGAUUAUGUAAAACAUUCUCUAAAAUAGGGAUCUAAAUUGCUUGCAGUUAAAUUUCUAGCAAUUGACCCUGCAGUCAUGAUCCAAAGACCAAAGGCUGAACUUUUUAUUCUCCUUGUAUUAUAUAUUACAAGGGUUGGAAAAUUAAAUCAGGGAUAGAUUAGAGAUUCAACUUCCCUUCUUUCUUUGAAUGUAAGGUGACUCUAGAUUUUAACCCCUAACAAGUAAAAUUAUGGUUUUCUGAGUUAUCUAUUUCUAAUCCUUUCUAAAUGUGUUUAUAUAGUUCAAUUGUUUGUGUUUAGAUAAUUAUAUUACAAAUAUUUGAUAUUUUGCAAUACAAUUUCUCUAGAGAUGACAUCUUUAUUAUUAUUUAUUUUUUGAAAAGCCAAGACAAAUUUUAUUAAAAAGGAUCAUGGUUUUGAGCACAAGGUGUGUCAAACACAUCUCCACAUAUGCCAAAAAACCUUCUCUAAAAGCAGUUCUUCACCCCCUAACACUACUAAACCGAGCCUACAAAAAAUCAGAACAGCAAAAUUUGUUGCUUUAUCUGGCAGCACCACUUUAUCUGGAUGCAAGAAUCUACACAGAAAGCAUAUACUUUCAUCUGAUACUUUAACAAGUCAAAACGAAACUACAUCUUUAUUAUUAUUUAAUAGAAAACUUCCAAAAUCUAUCUGAAUAUAGCAAUGACUUAAUGGCUUGUGCAUCUGGACGUCUGCUAUAUAUGGAAGAGAACCAUUCUGAAUGAGAAAACAUAUGUUUUAAAUUAUCCUCCUGCAUCACUAUAGAUCUCAAGGAAAGGAAAUUAGUGAGAAAUCUAGAAAUUUUUGGCCUGAUUAAUUCCUUCCCUCUUGUGAACUUUCUCAUUAUAUUCAAUAUCCAAGCAUGACUAUAAGUGUACUGUGUGUUUGUCUUUGCCUCUUCCAGGACUGUGCUUAUCCAAUCUUGUCUACCAAUAUCCUCUAACAUCUUAUCAAUACAAUAAGCAACACAAGAAGACCAAAACAAAAAACUAUACCUCGCUAUGAGAAGCCUUCCAGCACAAACAUAACCAGCACUAGCAUCUAUUAUAACCUGAACAACAUUUUCAACACCAACUUCCAGCACAACUGACUCCAGAAGCUCAAACAAAUAAGCACUAUCAUCUUCAUGACCUGAAACAUCAACUUAAUUCAAGAACAACGUUCCAUUUGGGCAUGCAAUAGAAAACACAGCAAGUGAUCCAGUCCUACCAUCAGACCAGUUAUCACAUAAGACUGUGCAUCCUGUUUCUUUCCCCUCAUCUCUGUAUUUUUUGUAAUCACUGUGAAUAUCAGCUUUCACUUUUUCCAAAAGAGUAGAUCUUAAUUUCUCAUAACUUGCUGCUUUAUAGCCUACCCCACACUGAGCUACAGCAUCCACCAUAUCCUGAUAAUACAUGGAUUUAGCAGCACUAAAAGGAAUAGAGUUGUGGAAGAAAAAUAUGGCAAGUUUUUCUAUCAGCAUCAUCCUGCUUUUGCUUUUGUUGCUUUUGGUUUCACCAUAUUAUAUAAUUAGUUAAUAGGGAGGAGGAGGGGGAAUGAAUCCAAAGACACAACUGCUGAGUUUUUCUCAUCUGAUUUGGGUUGGUCCAGGGAGUUCACACUUUCAAUUUUUAUACUAAAAAUAUUUCUCUAUUCCUGAAGCUGUAUCUGACUAUCUGGUAUCAAAGUUACAUAUCGAACCCUCCAACCUAACAUGUACGUUCACUCAUCAUUUAUCACAAGCAUAACUGAAGAUUUCUAGGAACAGUUUUUUACUAAAAUGUUAAUAUCAAACCAAACAAAUAUAACCAAAGGGUUUAAUUAUUUUUUUAACUGAUAACUUAUAUAGUAGAAAUAGAUUUAAAUUGAUUUGAGAAUGAGAAUAGAUUCAAGAACACCAUUUACUCACUCUGCAGUUUCUAAAACAGGAUUCCAUCCUUCGUAUCAAAUACUACAUGGAACAAUCACAUCUAUCCAAUUUCAGAGAUAACAUAAUCACUAAACAAUCCGAGAACCAAAUAAACGACGCAACAUCAUAAAAUGAAUCAAGUUAGAGUAAUAACAAUGUUUAGCAAGCAGAAAAGAAGAUAAAUUAUAAUAUGAUAGUGAACAUGUGGAAAAAAAGAAGAAAAAAAGAUUGGUCUCCACAAAAACUCUAUUUUCCUUGAAUAAUGCAUACCUUAAUUUUGGUUUCCCACCAUUCAUCACUAGAAGCAAUGGUUUUCUUCUUCUCAUCUCAAUCAAGACCUGUGUCCUUCCCAAUAAGCUUAGCCCAUAAUUGCCAUUCUUUUUCAAAGAAUUCCACCAAUUUCUGAAUUGUUUAAAUUCAUAUCUCAAAUUUGUUGCCUUAUUGAACUUUUCUGCAAUAUUUGCCCAUCCAAGCUUAGUGAAGUGGUUGUGAGGUUUAUUUCCAGCAUUCACCUUUUCUAUACACACUUUCAACAUAAUCUCAGUAUUUUUAUCACACCAUUUUGCUUUCUUUCUUUUCACAAGAAAUUUGAUUGAGAAACAUUUCACAAGCUUAAUGAAAUAAACAAAAGCAUAACUCUAAUCCAUAACAAUUCAAAAUUUAAUGAGAAGAAAAAGAAAUUAUUGAAGAAUUGGUUAAUCUGUGAUGCUCACAAUUGUGAAUAUAUCUGUAAGGAAAUUUUACAUAAAAGAUGUAAGAGACAAAAGGAAAGAAAUAUAAAAAAAGAAGGGUUGUUUCAUUACUUCAAAGAAUAUAAUAGAGGGUAAAAGACAGUGAUGAAAGAGUGAUUUGUGGUGGUGUAGCCUAAAAGGCAACGAGGCACAAAAAUAUGGCAACAAGAUGUUUGCGACUUUGUGAGAGAAAUUGAGGACAAAGGGUUUAAGUAUGUGUGUGUCUGUGUUUGUCUGUUGCAAGAAUAACAAAGUAAAACAAUAAUAAUAAUUACAAUAGUGAUAAAUUUAUUUACCACCAAGUUGGAUCGGAGAUCAAGUUCUAUUAGUUGAAAUCGUAACCUAAAUUGAAUAGUUCAAGUUGUUUAUUUCACCAAUGAGAGAUAACUUGCAAACUUGUUCAAACCAAGUCUUUUAAUAUAUUCGGGUUGGAUUAAUGUUAGGUUGUCCAACCCAUAUUACCCCUAAUUUGAAUAAUAGAAUAGUUCAAUUUAAUAUUUUAUGGUAAUUUCACACAUUAAUUUUGUUAUGGAUAAAAUACACGUGAUACAUAAUAAAAUUUUGUCAUAUUAGAGCGAUUUUGAUGGAUUAUCGUUUUAAAGAGUUUUAUUGUGUCAACUAAUUAUAAAAUACAUAAAUUAUGACUUUUAAAUAAUUAUUAUAAAAUUUAACAAUUUUAGUAUUAUUAUUAUUAUAUAUAAAAAUUCAUAAUUGGAUAAUAGAUAAAAAUAUUUAUACUUUGAAUCUAUUUUAUUUAUUCUACUAUUAUAGAUCAUUUAUCUUAUUGAAAUUAUUUUUCAUUGUUUUGUUCCAUUCUCAAUCGUUUAAUUUUACACCAAAUGUCAAUAAUAUAUUUAUUAUUUAUAUAAUAACAUUAAACCAAUUAAAAAUAUUGCUUACCUAUUUGUGAAUCUAUUAUAUCAUUUCCUAUAUUGUGAAUUUGAGUCUUCUUUUAUAAAUACGAGGUUUUUUUUGUUAUAUUCUUUCUUUUUGUGACAUGCGAUUCUACUAUUAUUUAAUACUCUUACAUUUAUAUUAUUAAAAAAAAUCAAAUCAUUAAUCAUUCUCAAAUUUUUCUUUACACUAGAAUAUUUUGUAUUAAAAAAAUUAUGCUAAGUUUUUAUAUUUUUAAAUCUCAAGAUUAAUUACUGUAAUUUUUAUUUUUAAAUUAAAAAUAUUUUUUUUGCUCAAAUCUUUAAUUUUUUAUAUUCCAAAAUUAUUUUUUAUUUAUUUCUAAUUUUACUCUUUUUUUUCCUACAGUUGAUUAAUAUAUAUAUAUAUAUAUAUAUUAACUCCAAUGUAGAAACUCACAUAGCAAUGCAAUACUUACUACUUAUUCAUUAAGAAAUUAAUUGAUGAAUUUUUAAACACUAAUAGAAAAAGGAUCGGUAUUUGACGUUCUAGAUUCAGUAGAUCGAUUCCAAUUACAGUUGAUGUAUUAAAUUUUUUUCUGCCAAAAAAUAAAACAAAAUAACAAUGCAACUACAAUUUUCUCAUGAUAUAUAUAUAUAUAUAUAUAUAUAUAAAGUUAGAUACAUAACCAAAAGCAAAACCAACACUCCAAAUUAAUUGGUCCAAAUCAUAGAAUACCCUAUGGAUUGCCUCGAUCAUUUCCUUAUAGAGUUAUACUCCUUAGUGCAGGCAAUGCAAGCAACCCAAAAACUGGAAAAAUUGAUGAUGUUUACAAUUGUUAUGAAAUGCAGAUAAUUUUCCCACCCACCUCAAACAUCCUGAAGCUAGUUCGUCCCUCCUCUAGUUCCCUAUAGAGAUAUUUUAUCAUUUUAUUGAGGGAGAGAGAUUAUUCAUAACUUUCAAUCUAAUACUUAAUUUAUUACAGCAAUAAGUAUUGAAUACAAAAUUAUAUUCAAACUAACACGCCUCGAAUCCAUCCGCAGCCGCAGGUGGUGGAUUGUGCUUAAUUAAUUUCAAAUUUCAAACAAUGCAUCAAAAUUUAGUUGGAAAGAGAUACUAUUUUAUAGCACACAUGUUGAGUAAAAAUAUAUAAUCAUUAUCCAUAUGGUUUUAAAACAGAAGUCUUAGUUGCAUGAAUAAUACAUAUAUAUGUCUCUCUCCAUAUCAUUCAAACGAUACAACAAAAAAGGAAUUGCUGGCAAAUGAAUUAUAUUCUCAUACAAUCCAUAUCUGUAAAUUCUUUGAAGCCUUUGGAACAUCGAAUAACAAGCUUGCACGUUCAUGGCGCUCUAUUUCCAACAUUUCAUUACCCUCUUCCUUCGCUAGAUUGAUAAUAAGUUUCUCCAAGACACAGCCAACUUGGAUCAGAUAGAAGCACAAACGCAAUUCAUUCUUGCUCGCUCGGGAUCCAUUUAUCUCCACCACCUUUAGAUUGUCUUUUACGCAUUCAAAAAUUGCGUAUUGGUCACAACAGAAUUUCGCAAAGUCGAAAGGAUAGGGCUUAACAUGUUCCUGAAAUAUACACAACCAUAUAUUAUAUAUAUAAAACAUAUCAACACAUGUUCCAUAGAGUCGUAUAUAUAAUAAAAUCAAAAGUAAUUGACUCACAUCAUAGAUUUUUCCUUGGCCUAUGUCCAACGUGAGUUUCUCCAAAUAAACACAACUGCUAAGAAGCAACACAAAUCCAAACAGUUCUUGAUUAUCCAAAUCAGUAUUCACGAGCAAAUGCCUCACCUCCAUAUCGUGCUGCAUACGCAUCUGUUCUUCUCCAGUAGGAAGAGCCUUUUUUUUUUUGCCAUGCAUUUAAAAAUGAAAACAAAUACUUAAAAAAAAUAAUCUAGUUUCUAACAAUACCAAAGAAAAAGAAAUAAAACAUCUUAUCAAUUAUUUCUUCCUUUCUCUCUUAAUUUGUAGACAACACCAAGUUAUACCCGAAAAAAUUUUCAUUAUUUUCAGCAUCUUUUGAUUUCCUUCCUAUCAUUUUCUUUCUUCCACCCCAUCCAUACUAAACUAAACUGGGUGGAUGUUAAUUCAUAUAUUUCCCAUUUAAAAAAGAGAAAGAAAAGUACGUACCUGAAGUAAGAAACUGCAAACUGUAAGAACACGAACACCACUGAGAUCGAGUAAUAAUUGACAAAGUUCAUCCCCAUAUUCUUCAAAUUUGGGCAUAGGAGUGAAGUCCAGUUGUGCUUCUUGUACGACCUCAGGGAGUGCUUUUACUUCAAAAAUCCCCAAUUUUCCAGAAUAUUUGAGAAACUUAAGAUUUGGCGCCCUCAAAUCCACGUAAUCAGAGAUGACAAAAUGACACUUAUCUAUGACCAAUCUUCUUAAUCCAACUUCUUGAGUACGCAUAUCAAAAUGUUCCAAAUUCCAACAUUUCUUCAUACUCAAGUUCUCAAGUUUCCCAAGAGUGGAUAAUAGAGUCUUAACAGUGUUAGUACUCAUUUCAAUCCACCCAAAAGAAACAUCCUUGAGUUCCACAAGGUUGCACAUAUCAGGCAUGGCAAAACCACAAGCAUACAACUCCAAAGCCUCAAGGGAUGCAUGCCUGUAAACAUGGUUUGGCAAUUGAAACAAAGCAUCAUGAUGGUCAUUAUCAUCAUCCUCAUUCUCCUCCCAUGUUGGGUCAGAGAAAUCAAGCCUUAACUCUUUAACCCCACGCUCAGUAGCAAAUGCAACACAACGUUCUAUAAUGUCAGCACAACUUUCAGGGUUUGAAACCUUGAGAGAAAACUUGUCCACUGUGUUGAUGACACGGUAGUUGUCCAUGAAGUGGGUGAUGAAGUCGAAGAAAAGUGUCCUUCUCUGUAAUUGUUUGGUGGCAUCAGUUUCAGGAGGGUUAAGAAAGAAGAGUUCGUUGAACUCUAUGUUCUUUGUUGAAAGCCAAAUUUUCGACCACCUCUUGGACAAGAUGCUUGUCCUUACAGCCUCUUUAAAUGGAAGAAACGAAACGAUUGUGAUUAAAACAAUUUCAGGCAGCAAAGAGGUCUUGUCUGCUUUCCUUCUUAUCCAUGCCAUGGCUAUAUAUGUAUGAAUGAAUGAAUUGUAAGAAAUCGAAGGCAAAAGUGAGCAAGUGCAACUUUUUGGAGGACGCGUUUCAACAGAAUUUUGGUGAGGCCUUGUCUCCUGCAAAAUCAAAAUUACACAAGACUUGUAUUAGUUUUCUCAUAUUAUUGGAUAAAAUGCUCUGGAUCAUGUUAAAUGAAACAUGUUCAGGAGGAUAAAUCUUUCUCAUAGGAAACAUUGAAGGUAUUUAAUUAUUAUUUUUAACUAAAUAGCUAUUAUGUGUUCCCAAAGAAUUAUGUUUCUAUAUCUAUAUUACAUAAUAUUAUAUUUAGAAUUGAUUUUUUUAAAACAUUGUACUGAUUCUAUCUUAAUAAAUCCAUUUUAAAAAUCAACAAUUUAAGGAUAUCAUAUGAGAGAAGUAUUUUAUUAUGAGAAAUAAGAGGAUUAAAUAGUUGUUCUUAAAUUCAAAUAGAAAGUCCAGAUUUGAUUGUUAAUUAAAACUACACUUACAUUCAAUUUUGAUUUUCAAUCUUUUGGUGUAUCUAAUUUUUUAGUCCUUCACACACUAAUUAAGAAACUAAAAAAAAAUAUUUUUACUCUAUCACUUGUUUAUUAUAAGAAAAAAAAACAUAGAGAUAGUAUUACUCAUACAUGACAUUGACAUCUUACAUGACACUCACAUACCUAAAACUCAUACUCGUGUAUGUAUUGUUCAAGACCCAUAAAAUAUAUGUGACAUCUUACAUGACACUCAGAUACAUGUGUUAGAUCCUCUAUCCUUACCAGUCAUGCUCCCCAACUAACAAGUCAUCUCUAACCUAGUAAUAUUUGAAUAUAUUUAAAUAUAUUUAUCUAUUGGCAGUAUUUACAAAGUCACACAUUACCUGCAAUGUAUGAUUAUCUUCUAGUAUCAUCUAUAAGCUACAGUUUAUCUCUAACAUCAUCUACAAGCUCCCCCCCAGCUAUUAUAUACAAGCCGAUCCUCUUGACAAAGGGACCUAUUAAAGUCGACAUGUGAAGUCUAGGAGCCCUCUUCUACCACUUCCACCCUAACGUGUGCUAAAUCUAGAUUUUGCUAAGAAUAGUGUACAUCAAUCAAUUGACUAAGUUCUUAAACCCCAAAUGUGAAAGCAUCAUUGAAGAUACAUGGGGCACAAUUAAACUUAGAUCGAUGAAGAUCGAUGCACUUGAAAAUACAAAUUUGAUAUGACAUAGGGGAAUUGUGCCUAAUUUUUGAAGAACACAAGUGAUGUCAUUUUAAUUCACUCUAAAUUAAACCAAAUUAAAUCUAACAAGAAAUAUCAAAUCAAAUUCAAAUCAACCCAAACCUAAAUGUAAGUUUACCCAUAAUUAUUGACAUAAGUCAUGAAAUACAACUCAAAAUAAGUCAAACACAACAACUAUCAACCUAAAAUCAUUGAUUUUGACUUAUAGGUUUGAAUAUACCAGAAGAAGGAUGAAAACCUAGAUGCGGAUGAAAUUAGGGCUUUGUUGUGCAGGAGUACAAAGGGAUGUGAAUUUUGACAGAUAAAUCAUAAAAGAUAAAAGGGGUCUUGGUGGUCUUGCCUAUGAUGUGAGAUGGCAAAAAAGAAAAAAAUAUGGUGACAAGAUAUCUGAGUUUGGGAAAGAGGAUUUUAGGACAAAGGGUUUGAGUGUGUAGAUGUCUUUGUGUGCUGUAAGAAUAAGAAGUAAAAUAAUUAAAAAUAAAUAUAUUGACCACCAAAGUCAGGUCAGUGUCAAGUUCUAGAAUAUUGAGGACCGAAAUUGAUUGGGUUAAGUUGUUUAAUCUCACGGUCCUAUUUAGAAGAUUUAAUAGGAAUGGUAAAACGAGUUGAAUCCUUUCUGUUAACUCGUUUUGAUCUUUUUCUAGCUAGCUAAGUUGAAAUUUUCAAACCUUCAACCUGUUCCGUUUUGGUUGGUUCAAAAAUUGAUUGAGAAAAAAGUGAAACAAACCAAUCAGUCAACCCUUUUUUAUUAAAAAACAAUUUAAUAUUUAUUUUGGUAUGUAUUUAUUAAUUGUUAAUUAAUUUACUUUUUGUCUAAAUAAAUUAUUAUUUAAAAUUUAAGGUAAUACAUUUAAUUUUUUUAGUAAGUAUUUAUUAUUUAAUAUUUAUAAAAGAUAAAAUUAAUUAACAUAUAUUUGUAACUUAACUUUUUUAAUAUUUUAAUUUUGACGGACCAAUUAUCCAAUCCGAUAAAGAUUGGAUCAAACUGACACACUUUGAAUCAUACAUGAAACUUGGGACGGCCAACAUGCUUUCCCACCCUUAAGACUCAGUCUAUAAUAUUUUAAAUUAAUUAUUUUUAUAUUAGGAAUGUUCUCGUUGGAAAAAACAAUAUAUUGACAACAGGAGUGGAAAGUAUUAAUAACAAAAGAUAGUUCUGAAAAUAAUUAUAAAUUUAAGAUAAAUUUAUUGUUAUCAAGUAAAUUAAUUAUUAAUAUUAAAUUUGUUGAUGAUUAUACAAAAUUUCUAAAUUUAUUGUUAACUUUAAUUUGAUGGGAUUCAUCUUCUCAUCUGCAUAGGAGAAAGAAAAAGGUAAUUCAAUAUAUUUUAAUAAAAAAUAAUUAAUACACAAGAUCAGAAUUGAAAUAAAUCUUAAUUAUAAAAAAAAAUUCAAAACAUAUAUAAAUAAGAACGAAGAGAAUAUUUCAAAUGACCAACAAACCCUGUCAAAUACAUUAGAAUUGGAUUAGAUAAGGUUAACUAGAUUCAUCAAGUUUCUCCGUCACAUGUUUCUUCUGAUCUGCAUAGCAACACAUUGCAAUCGAAUAUAUUAUGUGGAAACUCAAUAAGUAGUUUAAUAAUUUGGUUACGGAUAAAAUACACAUUUUGCACAUAAUUAUAUUUUAUUAGAUACUCGUGUUGAAUUUCUACACAAUAAAAUUAAAGUUUAAUUUUGACGCAUUAUUUGUGUAAAUUGUUUUAUCGUGUUAACUAAUUAGAAAAUGUAUAAAUUAUGAAUUUAAAAAUAAAUAUAAAAGUCAAUAAUUUUAUCAUUUAAAGUAAUUUAUAAUUUAGUGACAAUAUAAAAAAUUUUAAACAUUCAAUGUAUUUUAAGUGAAUUCAUAAAAUUAUUUUAUUUUUGUAUAGAUCAUUUAAUUUGUCCAAUGUCAACUGUUUGUCAUUAUUUUAUUUCAUUUUCAUUAAUUUGAUACCAAACGUGUCAUAAUAAAUUUAGUAUUUAUAGAAAACAUUAAACCAAUUAUUACAUAUUGCUUACUUACUAUGAAUCUAUAUAUCAAUUCCUAUAUUGUGAAUUUGAGUCUUCUUCUAUAAAUAUGAGCUUUUUAUUAUAUAAAAUUUGUUCUAACAUGCGAUUCUACUAUUAUUUAAUAUACUUAUAUUUAUAUUAUUAAAAAAUUCUCAAAUUAUUAAUUAUUUUCAAUUUUUAUUCAGACUAGAAUAUUUUAUAUUAAAAAUAUUUUAUGAUAAGUUUUUAAAUUUUUAAGCCUCAUGUUUAAUUACUUAAAUUUUUUUUCUCUUUGAAUAAAAUUCUUUAAAAUAUGUUUUCUUUUAAAUAGCAUUGCAAUUAAAAUUCUUCCAUAAUAUACCAAUAGUGAUUUGACUCAAAUACAGAAACAAUAUAAAACUGUAUCUCAUUAAUAUUGCUUAUUGGAUCAAGUUAAUGAAAACAUAUAAAAAGGAUAAAAAUACUUGAUCGCUUGAUAAUUGAAUAACGCAUCUAAGAAUAUUGGUAAUGAUAGUUAGGCAUCCAAAGCAAGGCUUAUGAUCAAGUGAGGAUUCUUCGUGUGCCUGUUAAGAUAAUAAAAUAAAACAAGGUAAACAAAUAUGAUAAAUAAACAUAAUUAAAAUAUAAAUACAAACUUGAUUAGAAAAUAAAUUUACCUUUAUUUAUAGUUCAUGUGAAGACAUUUUCUCAUAUUCCUUCAUGAUGAUUUUUUUUUUUUUUUGAAAAGGCAAAAGGAACCAUCUAUAUAGGUAACUAGUCAAGAGGCUACAAGCUGUAACCAAGACAUGCAUAAACAACAAAUUACAAAGUAUUUAAAAAAGAUAGUAAUAAGAGCAACUCUCCAAACCCAGAAACAGGUCCAAAGAGCUGAUCUAAGUACCAUAAUAAACCAGAAAUAAACGAAAACCUAGAAUGGAUGAUCAUGAGGAAAUUAUCACCACCAAAUAGCAUCAAACUUCCUAUUCUGUGAAUCAUCAUCGACUGAGCUUCGAACUAAAACUUCCUUCCUCGAGAAAACCAACUGCUGCACAGAAUUCCUCACUAAAUAUAUACUGCAAUUGCAGGACCUUAAUCAUAUCCACACUCACGCACCAUCUCUCCACUCCCCCAACUGAGCAACACUACACUUCCUACACACCUUAUGUAAGUACAUUGAUUAGAAAGAACGAAUCUAGUAAAUUUCAGAAGCUCAAUUCAUCAAUCUCAUUAUUAACAUAGAUACUUUUUUUAUCCAUACAUAGGUAUCUAACUUAAGUAUCAGAAAAUUUAUAACAACUCACCUACACUACCCAAUCAUUUGAAUUAGACUCCUUAAUUCUAACAUUCAGUCUUCUUUCUUGAAUAACCAUAUACCAUCUUUUAUUAUAUGAAUCGGUAAUAUAAAACAUGUGUACAUCAUAAUUACUUCUUUUAUUAUCUCAUGAGAUUUAAAACAUAUGUACAUCACAAUUAUUACUUUUAUAAUCUCAUGAGAUUUAAGGUUGAUUCGAUAAUUGAAAAAGAAUGAAGAAAAAAAGAAGGAAGGAGAAAUAUUGAAUACUCCCCACUAACAUUUGCCCAUAAUAAAAAAAAACUUUUUUUUAUAAUCUUCAAUCAAGUUACCUUUAAUGUCUGGUUGUGUCUCAAAGAAAAUUGUUUUUGAAGAAAAAAAAACCCGUGAAAAACCAAGGAAAAAUAAUAGUAAGUUAAAAUAAAAUACUAAUUUAUUUUUGUAAAUAAAGGAUAUACAAAAAAAAUAGGAUGUUAAAAAAAUAAAAACAGAUCCAAUCCCAAUUAUUUUAAAUUAAAUUGGAAUGGAUCAAAUAAUUUUUCUUUUCAAGAUGAAUCUAAUCUAAUCCGUGAACAUUUAUUUAGAAUAGGUUAAAAUCAUAAUCAUAGUAUAUAUCAUGUUUUUUUUCUCUAAAAUUUCAUUCCAAAAAAUAUCUUUAAGAAAACUUCAAAAGUCCAAAAUAACCCUGAAAGUGUGCUAUUUUUAGCUGGUACACAACCUAAUGGAAAUCUGAGAAAAAUAAUUCAUGGAAGGCUAGGUGGGGGUAAAGAUUAAGGUUGUGUUUGGUUGCAAAGACCAAAAUAAGUUACCAAAAGAUGGAGAUGGGAAGAUUUCGAUUGGUUUAUGUGAUUUUGAAGAAAGUAUAUAAAUUUAUAUAUAAAAAACUCCAUGUUGUAGUAAAAUCAAUUUUUUUUGUCUACGAAAUAAAAAAUUUAAUUUUCUUUGACACAAAAUAUUAUUUUUCUUAAAGCAAGCAAUACAAUAUAUCAUUUUAUAUCUCUUAUUUCUAUUAUCCUAUUUUUGUCAUCAAACCAAAUACACCAUAAAUGAAUGAGCAUCAGAAAAUGGCGUCACAGGAGGACGUGGGCACCUGCUUCUGCUUUAUUUUAAUAAACAAAUGACAUGAUAUAAUGAGCCUGACAUACUCCGUAAAUGGCGGUUAAUACCUAGUAAAAACACUGCCAUUUUUAAUAUGUGAACCACACCAUAUAGAUGAAAGCAAUUUAUUAUUACUAUCAUGUCAUCUAUUUUGAUCCACUUAAUUUGUGGACCCCAUGGAACAGGUGGAAGUAAUAAAAUCCGAUGUGCCUCAGAUACUCACUGUUUUUUCCACAGAACAAUCUUAAAAUAAUAUUUUCAACAAAUCAAGUGUUCCAAAAAACAAGACAAAGCAUUCCCAUCAUUAUAUGAGAUUUUUAUAAAACAAAUAUAGUAAACACAGCAAAUGAUAGUAACACAUAUUUUUAAUACUAUUAUCUUUCAUAUAUUUUCUUCCUAUUAAUUGAUAUUUAUGUAGUCAUGUGUCAAUUUCAUUCCUUGUUUAAUAAUUUUUAUUCCAAGCUAAUAAGACACCUGUAGUUUUGACUAAAUGGGCACUUAGCUUGACAAAUUUUGCUGAUUCAGUUAAAAAGAAAAAGCCAUUUACAAAGGAAAAAGUGCAUUUAUAAUGAAUAAAUCAGCCAAAGUAUAUUGUAAAUUUUAGUAGAAUAGAAUCACGGUAUAAUUUAAAGGAAAAAACACAUGCACAAUACUUUUAUGUUAUUUUUAUUUUUUUUCUAAAUAACUGCGUCAUUCUCAAUUAAUAAAAAUUCUAAUUUUAAUUAAAAAAUAAUUUGAUAUGCGCUGCAUGUAAACUUUGUAGUAAUUAAUAUCUGUGUAUUGUACAUAAUAAAUAUUUAUUUUAUAUACUUAAAUUUAUUAUAAAUAAAUAUCUUUAAUGUAUAAAUUAUAUUGUUAAAUUAAUAUUUUUUAUCAUAAUAUAAUAUUAGUCUUAACCAAUGAUGUUUUUCUUUUAAAUAAUUAUUAAAAUUUAAUUCAGAUUAAUUUAAAAGAAAAUAUAUUAAAAAUGAAAUUUUAAAAAGAUCAAAUAUAUAAAAUAUAAAAAUUUAAAAGAUGAAAAAGUUAAUUAAUUACAGUAUAAUACGUGCUUCCGAUAAAAAAAAAUAUAAAAAGUAUAUAAAAAACUGAAAGUCUAUUCCUCACUAUGUACAGUACUCCGCAAUUUGUAAGUUGCGAGCAUUGAGAGUACAUCUAAUUUAAUUAUUUUAUAUUUGUUUUUUUAUUGGUAUGAAACAUGCAAGAGGAGAUUAAUUACAAGAGUUUAAUCAUCGUUCAUUUAGAAUAAUCUUAUAUUUAAUUAUAAAUUAUUGUUUGAAUUAUUUUAAAAUAAUUAUUUUAAAAAUUAAUAAAUUUAUUAAUAAUUUGUGAUGAAAUGAAGUAAAACUUUUUAUUGUAAUAAUCCUCUUUCUGAUAGUAAAAUUAGUAUCGAAAAGUAUAUUCAAAUGAAGCUGAAAUAAAUAUACAUAAAAAAGAAUUCACCAAAAAAAUAUAUACAUACAAAAGAGGUUAUCCCAUCUCUCCUCGUUAUUUUUGCUGUCCUCUUUUGAAUCAUGACGCUCUUAUCCUCUCACCUACUUGUCUUCUCCGCCGUCCACCACCGUGCGCCGCCGACCACCACCACCCGGAACAGCCCAACAACAAACCACACUGUGCGGUUUCUGUGUUCUCCCGGCGUGCCGCCAGCUGUCCGCUUGGAUCAAAGGUUGCCGCGCUUUGUUGUCCCCGGCGCCGGAGCAGAAGAUCUGCUCUACAAUGCCGGAGCCACCGUCGGCGUUCUUGGCGGCGGUUACGCCCUCGUCCGUGCCUUUGACGAACUCACUCGGAGAAACAUCCUCCAACAGGUACAACUAUAUAUAUAUAGUUUCUUCAAUGCUUGCAUGCACUUACACAGUUUCCAAAACUGAAUCUGUUUUCCAAGUUUUAUUUGGAUAAAUUUUUUCUUGAACAAUUAUAAGGAAAAAUAAAUACAAAAUAAAAUAAAUCUAAUUUUAUUUUUCGUGAUCUAAAAUUAACUUAUAUGACACUGUUUCUAUAAACUAGUUUAGUAUCGUACGCACGUAUGCACGGGUAAGUCUUGAAAAUUGGUAGUAUAAUUAUUUUCGUAUAAUUGUAACACUAGAUAGUAGUACGAUGUACUUAACCGGAAACUAAGUAAAUAAGAACAAAAAUAAAUAUGAUUAAAAAGAUUUAUGAUCAACACGUCUAAAUUGAAUUGAAGGUUUACCAUAAUAAAACAAAUAUUAUACAAGAUUCACUUCAUUAACAAAGUCAUAAUAUUAAAGAUAUUAUUCGUAACAAGAGCACAUCCACAAAAUAAAGUUAAAUUAAUUUUAGUUUACAAGAAAAUCACAAUUCAUUUUAUUUUUAUAUAUAUUUUUUCUUCAAAUAUUUGUGAAGAAAUUACUCUAAUCAUACUCUACUAACAAUGACUAAUUCAAGUGAUUAGGACUUCGACUCCUUAAGCAUGUGAUUAAGACUUUGAAUCCGACGGGUGCAUAUGGAGAAAUCAUUAAUCAUUGUUGGGAGGUGAUUAGUUCCCCUAUGACUGGCAUUGAAAUUGUUGUGGCAGUCAUUCCAAUCGAAAUUUAAGUAUAAGUAACAAAAUGUAUCCUUUUGCAAACCUAGGAUGUUUAUCUGCUGGUUUCAAUUUGUGUUUUGGUUCUUGUUUUUUGAUUUGUGUGUUGGUGCUAGGCUAUGAUGUGACUGACUCACUGGGUUUGCGAAAAUUGAUUGGGCAGGGUCUGAGCAGAAAGCUGGUCCAUAUAUUAUCUGGCUUGCUUUUUCUGGUUUCUUGGCCUAUUUUCAGGUACCCCAUUUUAUGUUUCAUACGAGGAAGGUGUGUGAACUGCAAUGCAUUGAUUGCUGCUGCUGCUGCUGCUUUGUUUGAAUGUUUUGAUGUUAAUGCUAGGAUAGCAACUCCCCUAAGGCUCGCUACUUUGCCGCUUUUGUUCCUCUCGUCAAUUGCUUGAGGCUUUUGGUCAAUGGUCUCUCACUGGCUUCUGAUGAGGGACUCAUCAAAUCCGUCACCAGAGAAGGAGAUCCACUGUAAAUAAAUGUCUUCAUUCUAUUUUUGUCAACUUGGUUUGGUUUUAUUUGCUCAUGGGAGGUGUUGUUCAAAAACUGCAAAUUUUGGUCUGUCUGGGCAUUAAAUGUUCAUUCAUGUGCCUGCAGAGAAUUGCUAAGGGGUCCCCUUUAUUAUGUUCUGAUACUGAUUUUAUCUGCUCUUGUGUUCUGGCGUGAGUCUCCAAUUGGUGUGAUCUCCUUGGCAAUGAUGUGUGCAGGGGAUGGUAAUAUAACAAUAAAUACACACUUUCCUCUCUAUAUUCCUAUCUAAUAUAUGAUUUUUCUGCUUUGUUUAUUCAGCGUUGAACUUGAUGGUUUUGCAGGCAUAGCUGAUAUCAUUGGUAGAAGAUAUGGGUCCAUGAAGAUUCCCUACAAUGAACAUAAGAGUUUAGCCGGUAGCAUGUCUAUGCUUGUCUUUGGAUUCUUGGUUUCAAUAGGGUGUGUUACAAUCUUAUCCAACUUUUCAACACAACUUUCCGUUUUUUACACAUAAGGAAAUUGGCUUAUUGAUCAGCUUCAGUCUUAUUCCUAUCUUUAUGGCAGGAUAUAUGAACUAAAUUUACAUGUAAAAUGGGAAAAUAUUUUGUUUCAAGUAGAUUUGAUUUGACGUGAUGCUUUUGAUAUUAUUAUUAUUGCUUGUAGGAUGCUCUACUACUAUUCAGUUUUAGGACAUGUGCAGUUGGAUUGGGCAAGCACUCUGCCCAGAGUUGCUUUUAUUUCUUUCGUGGCAACAUUGGUGGAGUCUCUUCCCAUUACUAAGGUAGUAGAUGACAACAUUUCUGUUCCACUAGCUACCAUGGCAGUGGCAUUUUUCACUUUCCAUCAUUAACUCUUAGGAGUCUACUGGUCUAGUUCCCCUGUAAUGUCUUACUUGCCUUCCCUAUCCAAUUUUUUCCUGCUAGUGCGACAAUAUGAAAUUUAGUUUGUUCCUUGUAAAGAAAUUAGUGAAAAUUUUAUAGCAUAAAGAAUGGGUCAAGUAUUUUGUUGUGUUGGUGUUUUAAUUAACACGAUAAAUAUCUGUUGUUUUUUUUAUUGGUAUAGGAUUUGUAAGAAUUUAGCACACAAAAUUAUAAUAAAAAACGCACGGUAGUCUAACACAAUUGAUACCUAGUCUCCUCGAAAAUUACUUCCAAACCCAAGAAUUGGAUCCAAACUAGUGGCUUAAAAUAAGACUAAUUAUUAUGAUUGAUGUACGAAAGCAGAUUUUUCAUGGCAGGGAAUUGAUUGUGCAAUGGCAAUUUUGCAUUUGUCUCGUCCCGUUUGGACUCAGUCCCUCCAAAGUGGGGUCUUGGAAUAUACUCCAAAUAUCCUUUCUAUGCUAAAUUUUACCAUUAAACUUUUAUUAUAUUGUGAAUUUUAUCAUUAAGUUUUUGUUUUUUACAAAUUUUAGUACCAACUUUAUAAUUUUGUAAAUUUUACCUAAUUCGAUUUUGGUCAAAUUCAAAAUCAAAUUCAAUCAAAUUUGAUCGGUUGAUUCGGUUCGAUUUUCAUAAUUUUUUUUUGAAACUCAGUCUAAUUCAGCUCAUUCGAUUUGGUUUAGUUCAGAUCAAUGAAUCAUCCAUUUAAAUUUGAUCUUUUUUUCUUAGAACUAAUAUUUUAUAUUAUGAUUUAUUCAAAUAUCUAAUACAAUUAACACAAUAUUAUCAAAUGUCUGAAAGUAGUAAAAUUGAUUCAUUUAAUAUCAUUAACAUAAUAUUCUAAAAUAAAUUAAUACAAAUUAAAACAAAAAAUUAUUCAAGAAGAUUUACUAUAAUAGUUUGAAUUACAAUUAUUUUUUAUAAACUAAUUUUUUGCAAUAAGUUUCGCUACAAUUAGAUAUAUUACAACUAGAUUUGUUGCAAUCAGAUUUGUCGAAAUAAAUGAACAAAAUAUGAUCCAUUAAUAUUAUAAACAUGACAGAAAAAAUAAAUAUGAUAAAAGAUAAAACGAAUAAAAAUGUACAUGAAAGUAAUACCUUAAGAAAUUACAACACUAGUCAUCUCAACACUUGUAAUUCAAAAGUCCCAAUAUUAGCCGUAUUUAAAAUCAAACCCUAAACCUUAAAAUAAUACCUUAAGGAACUCCAACACUAGUAAUCCUGACACUUAGGUUUCAACACUUGUAGUUCCAACGAAACCGUAUUAUCCAUAUUUAAAUAAUUCUAAAAAAAUUAUAUGUCCGUUUUAAUUUUGAUCGGAUCUAUAAAUCUAAACUCGUAAUUCAACCCGUACAUGAACGAUUUUAAUCAAUUCCGUAACCCAUAAACAUCCCUAAUUUCAUUAUCUGAUUUUUUUUUAUAUUUUACCAUCACAUUGGGUAAUCAUCAUUUUAUUUUAUCUUUGAGUUUUCUUUUGUAACACGUAAGUGGUGGUAAAAUAUAUAAGAAUUAAAACUUAGGUGAUAAAAUUCUGAAAAUAAAAUUUAAUUAAUAAAAUUUAUAAAAUAAUAAAAAUUAAAUGAUAAAAUUUCCAAGCCUUAAUGUUCUGUGACUUCAAUAAUGAAGCUAAAUACAUCCACAUUGUAAUUGACGUAAAAGUUGAAAGCGACUUAAAACUUUGGAUGAUACAUGUGGCAGUCACUUCAAUAAAAACUUAAUAUCUUUUCCUACCAAUCAUUCUGAGACUAACAAUUAGUCUCUUAAUUAUGCAAAAUAUCUUGCCAAAGGAAAAAAAGGUCCUUAUUAAUCGUUUUUGGUACCUCAAUUAAUUCACCACCAGACUUUUAGGUAUAAUUAUGUUGGUAGAAAGGAAGUGUCAUAUUCACAUUGGGUGCAAUAAAAUUUGUGUGCCCCCAUUGGUUAUCAGAAUACACCAAUAUUGAUGGCAAGUCCAAGGACAGUGGAACGACUAAUUAAUGUAUAUAGUCUUGCUUCAUCUGCAAUCUGGACCACACUUGAAGCAAAUUUUGAUGGGUUACAAGUGCAACAGAGUGUUUCUCUUCAUUGCAUGUGGUUCAUUAUUUAGAUUCUAGACACAUUAUCUCAGCACAACAAAUAAAUAGUGAUUGACUUUAUGAGAUGUACUUUUACAGCAGAGCUUACUAAAUGCACUCUAAUUUGCUUGUUAAGAAGCAACACAUUUCUAUUCAAUGCCUAAAACUACAUAGAAUUGCCAGAUUACACCUAUAUUAUUUACAGAUAGCCAAGGGCCAAAUUAUCCAUUUGAAAUUUCAAGAUGGUUUCACUGUUUAACCACGGGCUGAAGAAACAAUAAAGUUGAGCAAUUCAAUGAUUCAUACAUUAUGACAACUAGAAUGAUAUCAUCUUCCAACUCAUAAUAUUUAAUAUAUAAUUAAAAAACCAUUUUUUUUCUUACAAAGUAUUGGGUCCAUCCUCAGACAUAGCUACAAUUAGAACUUCCACAUUUUAUCGUCCCUUCGAAGCAUGAAAGAGGAUGGAAGAACUCAUCACAAAAUUAAGCUGUGUUGAGGAAUUAGCUAGAACCAGCUUCAGCAAAAUCUGCGAAUUUGUUUUCUUUUAAUGAAUAAUUGAUUGUUGGGCAGUCAACUGUUUUAUCCCUCUUGCUGAACAAUAAAGAGGAUAUCUAAAAGAAUAUGUUCACAAAACCAGAAUAAAUUCACCGGUUUUGAAGUCCUUCAAUAGCCUUUUUCCACUGCCAUGCUCUUUGCUUUGCGUCCUCAAACGACAUUACCUUUUUAGGCUGCACCAUUACAUUAUUUAAUAAGAAAAAUAGAAGUUUGAAACAACUCAAAAUAUGAUAGGAUUAAGAAGUUGAAUUUAUACAAGUGAGUGCUAGGGGGGUAUUGCAAGUUAUGGAAAAUCACUUAAAAUAUAGCAAGAAUUUUUUUUACAUCAAAGCCCUUUUCAGGUCAUGCUGUUUGCUAAGGUGUUACGUACUUAAAUGUUUCAACUAUUAGCAUGGCCAUCUUGGAAUCUGACUUUGAACUCUCACACGUACUGUUUUCUACAUUUAUAAAUUUGUGCAAAUUGUAUAACAAGAACCGGUGAAGAAAAGAAAACUUACUGUGCAAAUCUUGAAAUUUGAUGGACUAGCCACUUGGAUGCUUAAAUCAUUUGGAUUAUCAGACCAUAUUAUAUUUCCCUUCACAAUUAGCUUUGAUGGGUCUACAUAGAUCAGCUUUGGUUUGUUGGUAAGGAUGAGUUGCACCUUCUUGCUUGUUAGUUUUUGUAAUUUCUUCACCAUAGAGAUCAUAAGAACAGAUUCCCCAGGUUCCAAAAAUUGCUGCCUGUAAGAUGAGCAUAAAUUUUGACAGUUUGACAAGGUAAACAUGGAGUGGCACUGUUGUCUUUAUUUUUAAUUUUUUUCUAAAUGUUAUUUUUCUGAUUGUGAGUGGGAACGAACUUUUAUCUCUAUAUGAGCAUGCAACUUCUCUAAAUACCGUACCAGGGAGAGAUUAUUACGAAAUUAUAAUCAAACAUCUAUGUAAAUUAAUAUCAUUAGAUCAAAUGAGACCUCAACGUGGCUGUUAUUUUUUGUCUUAAGGAUGAGCAAAGCAACUGAACAUUAAAACUAACAUAGUCAUUCCCCACUUAUGUAUUCCAAAAGGAUAAAUAAAUCCAUACAGUUCUUUGAAGUGAACACAUUAUACCAAUUGCCCAUCACUAGAAUAUGAUUAGAUGCAAAAUCAUACUAAUAAAAAAGGAAGCUUUGCAAACCAUUUUGAAUCGAAGGAAUCAAUUGAAGCUAGCCUAGUUAUGUGACCAGUCCCCUCAGAAGAUGUAGCACCGUCAGGUUGUCUAACCGAAGCUGCAGAACCAUCCCCAAUGUGAGAAGGACUCCACGAUGAGUCAUGAACAUCAUCAGACGCAGGCGACUGAGUCUACAAGUGAAAAUUACACAAGAGUUAGAAACUUUAUGUUCAUCAACAAAUAAAAAGGAUAAGAAAUGACGGUUCCUUUUCUUAUUCUCCAUAAAUAACAUUUCAAAGAGCAAAGGAAUGGAAGUCGUACCCCAGGUUCUGGAGCAAGUUUUGGAGGAAUUUGUGCCCUCAAGUUAUCCCAGUCAACCCCCUUGAAAAAUGGGUGACUUUUUAAAAUAGCAUAACCAUCAGGUCCAGCACCUGGUCUCCUGCUGGGGUCCAAAUCCUGCAUCAAAAUUGCAUUGCUAUUAAAAUUAAAAUUUCACAAAUUAAUAACCCACAGCAUGCAUCUUAAAGCACACUAAAAUCGUUGUCAUACAUACAUUAAAGGAAUUUUAACAUUACCAAUCAAUGUGAUAUUUUUUCAUGUUUAUCUACUAUAAUGUUUUUAUUACCAUACCUUGAUAAGUUUGAUUAAUAUGCAGUCAAGUACUUUAGAAAACAUGAUGUCUUUUCAAUUUUCAUGCAUGGUAGUAUUCUUCUAGGGAAAAAAAUUGCUGGGGUGUUUUUGACUUUCUAAAAGCUGAAGCACUAGUGUUGUGCAUCAACUACUACCAUACAAUAGACAACAAAAGUAGUGUCAAGGCUCAGCUUCUUAAACUCAGUUGUUCUGCUUGUGUUGUUCACUUGUCCUUCAAUGUUGCAUCAAAUGCACCCUAUGUCUGUUAUCCAAUAGCCUACAAGUAUAACUUCCUGCUUCCUGUUAUUAUUCACACCAUGCACCAAUGUGAUCCAUCACUCCCACCCCCAUCCCAAGUGACCUAGCAUUUUCAAAGGCUAGAUUUCCAAGGUAUCAGAAGUACCUUGGAAUAAAUGAAAGUGAAUAAAACAACUACAAAAAAGUUCCAAGCUCGACAACCAAUAGAAAUCAAUGGGUACUGGUUAGAGGAAUGAAAUUGACCAUUGGUACUACUCCCAAAUCAACAGAAAAAAUCAAAAUUGCAAAAUUCAUCUCCGUCUCACAACACUGUCCUUCAAGAAGGUCAGAAAUGAAACACCUUAAUCCUGGACGUUACACUGCUUUAUGAUCUCAAUAUGUCAAUUUAAGGAGUAGCCAAUUAAUUCACAAAAAUAGAAAAGGGAUAUUUCUUUUAAACAAUUAGCAAUGCAUAAAAAUUAUAUAGAACAUGAUAUGCUGGGAUUUCUAAGUGCACGGUCAUAUAAUACUAACCAACAGGCGGUCAAUAAGGUCUCUUGCUUCGUCAGAAAAGUAAUCUGGAAAUCUAAGUUCUCUUGCUAUAAUUCUUUGAAAAAUAAGCCAUUCACUUGCGUCUUUAAAAGGGGAAGUUCCAGAAAGCAUUUGGUAUAAUGUGCAGCCAAGUGCCCAAAGGUCAUUUCUGUUGUGAUAUAUUUGAGGGGGGGAAACAAAACACAGAAGAAAAGUUAUUAUAUAGGGACCUGGUAUGAAACAAAAGAAAUGAAGAAACUCGGUGCAUGAGCAAACUUAACAUGUGAAUUGUCAAAAAUAACCCAUGAUUUUGAAAGAAAAAAAACAAACUGAAGUGAAAAAUCUAUAUAGAUGGAAAACUGGCACAAGAAACAAUAGUUGUUUUGGAUAAAAAUGAAUGACUAUAUUCAAAAGAGAGCUAACAUCAUGAUGGGGCCAUAAAAAAUAAUAUUAUCAUAACAGAAUUCAUCUGUAUUACAUUGGUAAUUUAGUCCCUACCCAAAAGUUGCUGGAGAGGAAUUAAGAACCUCUGGAGGAACAUAAGCAGCUGUUCCCACAAAAGUGCAGGCUUUGUCAUCUAGAAAAAAUACAAAAAUAAAAAAUAUAUAUAAAUACUAUAUAAAAGAAAACUUAUAAAAGCAGCUUCAACAUUGCUUCUAUUUACCUGAUGCUGCAUUUGGAAGGACAGUUAUUUGGCUAUCCUGCAUAGGCUUCACACUCCCAAAAUCGGCUAUUUUAAUAUGUCCUUCAGCGGUAAGUAAUAAGUUCUCUGGCUGCAGUUGAAGAAAUUUAAUAUUCACAUGGCCAUAUAUGGCAAUGAUGCAGUAUAAUCAUGCCACAGAACUACCUUAAUAUCACGAUGUAUGACUCCCAAAUUAUGUAUGUAUUCAAGAGCAUCGAUAACUUCAGCUGCAUAGAAUCGUGCCUCAUUCUCUGAUAGACGACCUUUCUGCACAUAGAAAUCAGAAAGGUUGCUAGUAGAUAUCAUGCAGUAACAAGCAUGCAGAAAGUUACUAGCUUACAAAUUAACAACUUCCAUAUCCCAAAAAGUACUAAAAGUACAAAAUAGCUUCUAAAGAGAGUCCCUGACACAGAAACCAGAAAAGCUUGCUAGUAGAUAUCAUGCAGUAACAAGCAUGCACAAAGAUACUAGCUUACAAAUUAACAACUUCCAUGUUCCUAACAGUACUGAGAGUACACAGAUUCUUAAGAGUACCCUGACACAGCUGAUGAACGAUGAUACAGAAAAUAUGACAGUACAAAAGUAACAUUUUGAUUGAACUGAGGGUAAGGGGGGCAAUGGUUAUUAAUUCAGCUGAUACGGGAAUCAGAGUUUGAUACCUUUCUAAAAAAUAGUGCAUUUAUGAAUACUAUUUAGCACUGCAAACUUUUUGCAAGUCUUCAAUUAGAUGCUCAUCUUUGAAUGAACUUAUUUAUUCUGUGGUGUAUGUAGAUGAUAUUGAUAUUGACAUUAAGGACCUAAAGCAACACUUAUUCAAGCACUUUCUAACCAAAGAUUUAGGGAAAUUGCAAUACUUUCUUGAAAAUGAAGUGGCUCAAUACCAGGCAGGUAUUGCAAUUUCUCAAAGGAAAUAUGCCCUUGUCACAAGGAUGCUUGAUUGUAAACACAUACUUUUGGAAGUAACCAAACAUGUUACCCAAAUGAGUUUACUCUCCAAACUGAGUUAAGAGCUCUCCAAACGAAAAACCAAACAUAGCUUCACAUUGUAAAGUGUAAAAUAGUCUAUUUUAGGUGGGGGUAAAAGGGCGAAGACAGGAGUUCAGACUGUAAAAUACUCAAUUUAAGUCAAUGUUUUAGAUGCUCACAGCUUCAUACUUGCUAAAUAAGAUUGAAGAUACUAAACUAAAAAAAGGAUUGACAAUUCUCUGAUGAAAUUAAGUAUUCUCUGAUGAGAGAACAAAUGCACCUGGUGAAACAAUAUUAUUAAUGGGAAGGGGGGUUGACCAUGGCACCACACUGCAUGGGUAUAAAUCUUUAAUCUAAAGAUAUGUCAUCUCAUAUACUUAGCAUUAACCAUGGUUCAUUUUAAUGUUCGAAUGAAUGUUCUGCUAAAAGAAUUAGAAUGGGGAUUAGUCAAUCAGGAAAAAUUGAGUGAACAGUAGGUCUAGGCAAAAAACUAAGUUUAUUGUUAUUUCAAGAAGCUUCAAAAGGUGAAGUGCAAACAUCCUUCAUUUUCAAAAUGUUCACUUAUGUGUAUUCAAAGAAUUGAUCAAAUCAUCAAAAAGACAACACUAAGUUAUCCUGAAUCUUAGAAAAGCCUAUGUUAAAAGAAAUUAUGGAAAAGUAUAAAGAGCAUAACAAAAUCAAAGUAAAUAUCAUUGUUUUAAAAUUUAAUACUAAGACCUAACAUAGGACUAAACUUGGGUAGUGCAGGACUAACACCUUCAGCACAUGUUCUAUAAGAUUUUUUCAAACAAAUUAUGUAUACCCCAGCGCAUGUUCUAUGUGCCUUGAAGUUUUAUGUUAGCUUACCCUGGUUAUUUGAUCAAAAAGUUCUCCACCUUCACAGGAUUCAAGUGCCAUGUCUUCACCGAUGUAAAAGAAAAAGGGGAAAAAAUAACGUCAAAAUAAAUAUAAACCAACUUGGCAAACAAGGUGAGCAAAAGCUAGAGUUGAAAAGGUAUCAGAGAGGAGUAAGUCAGAGCAUAAGCAAGUGUAAAGGUAAAAUACACCUACGAAUACUUACAUAGAGAAAAUGAGUCUUGAAAUGUGAAAUAUAACCGCACAAUGCCUGGAUGAUCCAAUUGAUCUAGCACAAUGCGUUCCAACUUCACAUAAGCUGUUUUGUUCUCUUUGGUAAUAAAUUUUUUGUCCAUGAUCUUCAAUGCGUACACAAUUCCAGUGUCCUUCUUCUUUGCCCUCACAACCUUUAAACAUAAGAAGAAAGAUAUUUGGUGAUAAUUUACAAGAGUAGAUAAAUCCACUCAAACAACUGUUCAGCAUAUAUAACAGAGGGGAAAAAAAAGUCCCAAAAUGGAACAAAUUAUGAGACAGAGAAAGUGUAGGGAGCCAGACAGACAGAAGCAAAGGCAGUAUAUGAUAUCACAUAAAAGUAGAAAAAGGGGGAAAAAUAUAUGUUUUCAGUAAGAUGUCACAUACUCGUAUUUGAGAUCAACGCAGUUUAAAUAAGUACUAUGUUGAGGAAAAGAAUGGGGAAUUUCACACUACUAAUGGCAAGCCAGAAGCAGGGUGGAAUUCCCCAUAAAAGAAGUAAAGCAUCACAAUAGUACACUCAAAGGGAGAACAUAUUGCCGAUUUUAUGCAUUAGUGGUUUCAUAUCAGUUCCAGCAGGGUAAACCCCCCACACAAUCAAGCCAAUUGUUCCUUCAGUUCGCUUCAUUUCCUACAGCCUAUUAUUUCUUUUACUUCCAGCUCUACAACUUAUGUAAUUCUCAUUAAUUAAAUCAAAGAUAAUCUCAAGGAUCCAUUUGUUUAGAAACAAAAUGGCUUAAUUUCUGAAGCUGAAUCUUUGAAUAUAAUUCACAAUACCAUAAGGGCUAUCAACAAACAAUAGAUAGCUCAGAAAAAUGUAGAAUGCUUUCCUAUUGAGUAAAAAUCAGAGAGAAUGGGAAGGGGUGGAAUUUAGCAGCCAUUCAUGACAAAAUAUCAAAGAAUAAUCACCCUAGCAGAUCAAAAUUCCCAAAUGAAGAUACCAAACGGUGCUUCAUAACAAUAGAUAGCAGCAAGGAUGACAAUAUUGCCCAAUGAUCUCUACUACAUAAUAAGCAUCAAUGAUUAUCCAACAGGCAACCAACAUCCAACAUGUCUUAGUAACAGAACUACAAUGCCAACAUUAUUUACAGGAUCCAUGUAUUAUCCAUCAAAACAUUGCACACACACACAUACAAAAGAAAAAAAGGUAAGCCAAUAUCAACCCACAAAACGAAAACAACAAAAGUCCAUGUGUGAGACCUUAGAAUAAGAGCCAACACCAUAGAUCUUGCCCAAUUCAAAGUCCUGGAUAGUGUAAUUCUCCUGGGGUGCCCUAAAAGCAAAGCUUUUGGAUCUCUGUACAUUCCCAGCACCAUUGGAAGAUGAGGAAUUCCCCUGAAUCUUCAGCUUGGAAUCAAAAUCCUUCUCCAUUUCCAACAUUGCUCGGUCACCAACAACAACAACAACAGCAACAAGGGAAGAAGCUCCACUCUACAUUCCCAUGGUGACUUUCUCUCUCUAGAAAAGCAGUUUUCUCUCUCUCUCAAGAGGCCUGGGGAGGCGAGCCCGGAACGGUCAAAGAGAGGCGAAGCGCCGGAGACCCUUUUGGCCGAAAAGGAAAAGGGCGAAGGGAAUUGUGCGAAUGAAUGGGAAAGGUGGAAAAGCUUUGGGUUGGGCUGCGAUUGAAAUUGGGGGAUUGAAAACCCUAGAGAGAGGAGUGGCACAUCACAUGGGGAAGGGAAUGAUGAUGGAGAUCAUUCAUUCAUUUUCUCAUGCCUUCUUUCUCUCUCUCUUUGUGGCUAUUAUGGCUUAAAUCAGGAACAAGGCAAACAGAACACCUGUCAUGGGAAUUGGGAAGGGAAUGCAUAUCAUUAUAAAAGCCUUUUGUGCAAUUUCAUGCUUUUCUGUUGUCACUGUCCUCUUUCCAAUGCCAAUUCCAACAUUGGAUUCAAUUCUUUGACCCUUUUGACUGCAUUUCCACUUAUCAUUACCAAUAACGUAACAAUACUCACACCACUAUAUUUAGAAUAAAUCCACACUCCACAGCUUUCGUAAAUAAAAAAUUAAAUUAAUUGUUAAUUUUAUUUUAAAGUAUUUUUAUUUUUUAAAUAUUCUCACCGAUCUUAAAUAUAAACAAAAGAAAGUUGGUCUUACAUAUAAACAAAUUAUCAACUAAUUUUAUCUUAUUUAAUAUCAGCAUUCCUAAAAUAUAUUUUUUAAUUGGAUUUUAUUUUUAAUAUUUUUUGUUAUUUUUAUAUCAAAUUCUAAUAAAAGUUAAUUUGAAAAAAAAAUUAAAUAUAUACAAUUGAAUGAUGUUAACUACAGCCACUUUUAAUAGUUAGCGUGAUGGAGAGAGUAGUCUUUAAAUUAAAUAGUACUCCUUAUCUAACUUUUAUGUAGUUAAUUAUUUUUAUAUAUAUUUUUUAACGUAAGAACUAGAUUUGGUACAAUGGGUGUGGAACCUCUUCCACCCAGUACAUAUCCUUGAACAGAAAAGCUAAGCUAGCAAGCUUGUCACCCAUUGGCCUCCUUUUCCUAAUGAAUGGAUUUCUUAACAUAAAAAUAAAUAAAUAAAAAGCUUGAUUUGGUAAAUAUUUCGGUAAAAAAAAUCGGUGAAUAUUCAAUAUUUUAAAGAAUACUUAUAACUUGAGCAUAAUAUAUUCGUUCUAGAUUUCGGUUCUAGUUUCAGAUAUCGAAUUUUAAAUAGUUGAACUGAAACUAAAGUCUCGUGGAUUUAUUACAUGUUCGAUUUUAAUAAUUGCCGCAAACUGUUUUAUUUUAUUUUAUUGAAGAUUGCCACAAUCUAAUUGUUACAUUGUUUUUUAUGAUAAUAAAAAAAUGUUAUAACCCAUGCGGAAUCCAAAUGUAUGCUUUGUUGAUUGAAACGGGAGUUUCCUUUGCUUUCUUUUUAAGUCUCAAUGUUUUAGGGAAAAAUAUUUAUUAUUUUUGAAAAUUAAAAACAAUUAACAAUGAGUUCUAUUUUAUUAAUUGUACUUUAUUUUAUUUCUAAUUAUUUUAUAUAUUUACAUUGAAAAAUUAAAGGUGAAAUGAAUAAUAAAUAGAGAAGUAAGAUAAGUAAAAGGAAUAAUAAAAAAUAGAUAAUAAUUUCAAUAACAAUAAUAAUUUUAAAAUUGUUCACACAGGUUGUUCUUUUAUCAAAAUUUGAGAUUCGAAUUUUUGACUUUAGCAACGUUAAAUAUACCUAAAAAUAUCACUUUAUCUUAAAAUAAGACAAUUUGAUCAAAGAAAAUUAGUUGGAUGUAAAAUAAAAUAUCCUAAAUAUCUUUUAAUUUAAAAAAAAACUAUGAUAAUUAUAGAGAUAGUCAGUUUUGUAGUGAAUCACACUGAUUUUUUACUUGAACUUAUUCGAACGGGCAAUCACACGACUCUAUUUCAAUUAUAAAAAAGUAUUGCUUAUGUUUUUUUUGUUGGGAUCUGGCCACCUAACCCGGUUUGUGUGUGACCUUAUAUAAUAUAUAUAAAAUGUCGCACUUCUAUUUUGGCACAGUCACACACUAUUACUUUUAGUAUUGAUCUUUUCUAUUACAUUAGGCCUUUCAAAAAAAUGUUAAAUUUACGUUUUGUAUACAGUCCCCUUUAUAUCUUUGCCACAGAUCAAAAAAUCUAAUGGAAAUGAGAGAGGGGGAAACUUCAAAAGUUGUAAAGGUGUAAAAAAAUUAAUGAAAAUUGUAAUGGUGGUUAAUUUUUUAUGUUUAAUACAGUGUUGCUUUUCUUAUGAUUUCACCCUCUAUAUAGAGAGAGAGAGAAAAAAAACGUAAUGAUUUCACCCAAAAUAUUGAUACUAUUAUCGGGCAACAUUCUUCCUUGUUAAAUAGUAUAACUUGAAUGGUGAUUGUUUUCUUUUUAAGUUAAAAACUAUUCAAUUGAUAUAACCGCAUGUUCACCAAAAUGACUAUUUUUAUGACUUUUUUUUCUGGUAUAAUUAUCACUUAGUUUAUUUUUUUAAAAGGAUUAUCACAGUAAUACAUAUGUUGAAGUUUACUUUUAUCCCAAAAAAAAAAUCUGAAGGGCAGAAAUACUCCUACCUCUCCCAAGCAAGCUCUAUCUCCACUCAAUACCACCUUCGACUCAAACACCACUCCCACAAUCACCCAACACCCGCCGACAACCCUGAUGUAAGUAAGAAAACGCAAACGGAGUCAUGAAUGAUAAAGAGGUGUAAUACUUGACCCUAUUCCAAAAAGGUCUUUUCAAAAUAUACUAAUUCUUUUUAUACUUCCAAAAAAGCCUUUCUAAUUUUUUUUAUUUAUUUUGUUUAUACUUCCGGAUAUCACAAGUAUUCAUGCACCUUCAAUUCCCUCAAAAGGGAGGGUUGAUUUUCUAAGUUUUAAACGGUAUUUGUCAAAAGGGUCAUGGCAACGUAGUUAAUAUUACGAGAGAUCAAACUAUCAAUAUGCCGUAACUUUCUGGUCUAUUUUGUCCUUUAUUGCCCAUCUGUCAUAUUUCAUAUUCAUCCCCCCUUAAACCAAAAACCAACGUCAAUCUAAGAACAAAUGAAAGCCACCAUUUACAGGCUUGGAAAUAGUCAAAAAGCAAUGAAAAUUAAUUAGAAUCAAUUCCAGGAUCAGAAAUACAGUUCCUAAGAAAGAAAUGUCUUUAGGAAACAUCUGUAGUCCUAUUUUCCAUUUGUCUCACUCACCCUUCUUGAAUCAUUCUUUCCUUCAAUCACACCACACCCCCGGUGGUUGGAGCCAUAAAUUAAAAAAAUAUAACAUGAAAAGGCCAUUAUGGAACCAAUUUACAUGUUGCUUGCAGACAUUCAUUCUAUUGGAAACCCCCUAAAAAUAAGAUUCACAGUGGGGUACAAGUAUGGACAAAGAAGACUAAACUUUAUACCCGCAAAGAUGAAAAAUACAAAAGUUGGCAACGACCUACCCUAUAACAAAAACUCCCCUACUAUACAUCCCAACCAUCGUUUCUACUGUCAAAUCCCCAUUUACGACCAGCUAAACUUCCAUACAUCUCUGAAAAUUUCAUCAGGCAAUGGCUUCUCAACUGAUAAUGUACUUUCGUGUUUCGGCUAAUCGCUGCACCAGAAAACUUUGAAGUGUCAAUUGCCCAAGCUGGUUUCACAUAAUCAACAGUCCUUGACGAUGAGCUUGCAUUUGCAUACAAAUAGUUUAAGAGCACGUCUUCACAGUUAAAUAUCUUGUCCACCAGUUCCCUACCUUUCUCGGCUUCCUUGCUCCCGUACCUCUUGAAAGCCACUUGAGAAUCAAUAAAAGCUGCACCAGUAAGAAUCAUGUUGUACCCCUUAUGCGACCGGGCGUAUUUUUCUCCCCUAUAUUUUAACGGGCUCCCAUCAAUGAGCCGAGGAUAGAAUCCAACAAUCCGAUCUGGGUGCUGACGCCACACGUUAAAACCUCGCUCAACAUCAUCGCAUGGCAUCAUAAUGUCAUCGUCAAGCUCAAGGACUGCUCGUGUCUUUAUCAAUGGAUCGGCAUUGAACCGAUUAUUCAGAGAGUUCUUUUUCUCUUCCCUGAUCCUUACUGGUACUGCAGAAUCUAGAUCACUCAAUUUUGGAGGGACUCCCUUGUUCCACACCACCACUAUCUCCCGCACAGAAGAGCAUCUUGAGUAAUGUUUCACAUACAUUUUCAAAUUCCAAAGUCGAGCAUCGUAGGUCAUUGUUAGUAAUGUGAACUGGGAAUAUUGCCCUUUCAAUGGAUAAGGUUCUUCAGAGCCAUUACCACCAUAAAUAUUUUUCACUCCUAUGCACAUCAAUCCAACUCCCACAGCAAAUAUUAUGGCAAGAAUAAACCUCCUAGCACAAGCAUUAUGCUUUAUUUUACCACGGAGAAAUGUUGGGGCUCGGUUCAGACGGCUGCAAAACCGUCUUACUCUUGAACAGAACACAUUUGACCUUUCCCAAGACAAGACAGUAAAAUUUCUCUUCCCAGAGUUAUGAAUAAACCAAUUCAGAGGGACAAUACAAUUCACAAAUCCAAGUAGCACACCCAAUAGUACAAUGAGUAUAGCAGCGACCGCAACAGAAGCACAACCAACCGUGAAUCGCCGGACUGAAUCUCCAGAAGGAACAUGAUCCCCAUCCAUGACACCAACCCACCCACCAGAUGGCAGGUGCUGCACAUCUAAGUGAUGGUAUCGAGCCCCAUUCCAAGCAUUUCGACCCUUGUUUGAUUCAACAAAGCCUAAGGGUACUUCAACUUCUUUGUAUUCAUCAAUAGUGAGAGUUUCUAUCUUAAAAACACGCAACUUUCUCCCAUAUGUAUCACCACAGUCCUGACCCAUACGAUAAAGAUUUCCUUCAUAUUUAAAUGGCCUGCCUCCAUUGCGAGCUCCCAAGCUCCUAUCAAUGUUAUAAAUGGGAUUCUUCUUGUGAGGAUUCCAAGGACCAAGAGGUGAAUUGCUAUACCAAAUCUCCAACUGCCCAUUUUUCUGGGUGCCAAAACCACUAUGAUCUGACCCAAAAAGCCAAUACCUCCCACCAUGAUUGAUGACAAAAGAAUCAACAAGGGGCUUUUUCAUGACGACCUUUUCCAACCUCCACUGCAAAGGGAAGUUAACUGCACGGUAGAGACGAAGAUCUCCCUUCUGGCUUCCCUCAGGCAUCAUAUAUAUCUGAAGUUGCGAACAAGCAAAAAAAAUGAAUAUUAUACUAUAAUUUAACUACAAUAAUUAGUUUGAGAAGUAGAAGAGCAUUAGACAAGUUCAUAUGCAUCAUAUUUCUAACUAAACAUACACAUUAUUUUUGUCAGGAACAAUACCUGGCCAUCAUGCUCAAAGACAUAAGGAUAAGAAAGAUGCCAAUCCUCAUUCAAGGCAAUUCCCAACUGCUGCCAUGUUGCUCCCUUAUCAGUACUUUUUGAAACUCCAAUAUCACCUUGCAUAGUGAUUGAAUUUUUCGUCUCAUAGAACAGGUAAAAAGUAUUUCCCUGAAUUGCAAUACCAAUAUGAGUGAAUAGGUUCACAAUGAUUAUUCAUAUAGAAAACAAGAAACUUCAAAGCUGUAGACACCUCAAAUGAGAUAUUGACCUAUUCUCCAUUAAUAUUUCUCACCACUCAAUUGUUCUUUGCGCAUCUACAUAGUCAUUCAUAUUCUUCUUAGUGCACAUGCAAAUAUCUACAACCUUCUUUUAAUAAUUACACCUUUUCCAUUUGAAGACAGUUUAUCAAAUGUUCAUAAUACACAUUCAGAUAUCAGACUAAGACAAAAAGUUGACACUGUGGAGUAUGGACAUAAGGCUGAUAGAGAUUCCAGAACUGUUCUAGACAUUCUCUUUCAUUGGAUCUAUUCCUACUAGCUUUAUUUUUAAUUAUACAACAUGAACAACUAAAGAGACACUGUUUCUUUUUUAUACAAAAGAGAACCUCAAUUAUUAAAGUUAUUGAAUAAGUGAUGGCACUAAAACUCAGAAGGUUUAACAAUACCCAGUUAUAAUAAAAAAAGAAGAUAAAUCCCUUGUGCUACACACACGCGCGCGCACGGAUAUAUAGAUUGAGUAGAAAACCUACUUUUCAUGUUAUAUAGAAUACUAAUAAUGCAUGUGUAACAGUACAAACAACUGAUGGUUUAAUUACAGAAUCCUCUCUAUAAGUUUGACGCAUAGAAGCCUGCUUUUGAUGUUAUAUAGAAUACUGAUAUUAGGUACUUAACAGUACAAACAACAGAUUAUUUAACUAAAGAAUUCUCUCUAAGUAUGACACAAUAGAAGCCUACUUUUCAUGUUAUAUAGAAUACUAAUAUUAGGUACUUAAAAGUACAAAGUACAAAGUACAAACAACUGAUGGUUCUGCUAUGAAACUCUCUAAGUAUGACACAUAGUAUUAGUAAGGACCCUACUACCUUGCAGAUAAGAGCAAGACCUUGCAGAUAGGAACAAAAUACAGGAUGUCACUCGAGCACUACCUAGCCAUAAAUUUCCAUCUCAUUUUACACUUCAAUUGUUACAAUCUGACAAAUUCUGACCUCCUCGUCAACUUUUCAGCAGCUUCUCACUUAAGUAAACAAGUAGGGAAUCAUCUCAAGCAACUAAGAAAAUAUUACUUGCAUAUUAUAUAGAUUCAGGCUCCCUACUUUCAACCAGAAAAAAGCUCUAUGUGCCUGUUUGGUUUCACGUUGGAUUAUCGAAAACAAAAGCAUGUCAAAAUACAAGUUUAACAUGAUUUUAGAUAAAUGUUCACAUGAUUGAUUCCAUGAUAAAGAAUUGAUUCUGAACCUAAAAUUGAUUUUGAAUUGAAGCAAUUUAGAUAACUUUUGUAUAAGAUAGAAAAAAUUUAUAGAGUUUUAGUACUAACUUGCUUUUAAAGAAAAACAUCCAACAAACAUAAAUUACAUCAUUUUAAAAUCAAUUGCCCCAACACUCCCCCAAACAUACAGGUAUCGCUCCAUGUCAAAUUUAAAGCUCCAAGCAAUUUUCUCCAGAAACAUGCAAGUUAAUCCAAACUUCCUGACAAAUAGUAAUAACUAUAAGUAACAUGACGUAUUAGAUUUCACUGUUUCCAUACACGUUCUAAAACCAAACCUCUCUCUCCCUACAGAUUCAUAACUGAAUCCAAACCCUGACUUGGCAAACAAAACAGUAUGCAAAAUAAGAAAAAGGUAGGAUUUUUCCGGUAAAAAUUGCAGACACAUAAGGAAUAAAAGGGGGAAAGUACUAAAACUAUUUCACAGAAUCAGAAGCACCAGAUAGAAACGUGAUGAAGGAGGGAACCAAAGGUGGCAGCAAGAACCGAUUAUUAUUAUUAUUACCUGAAUAAAAAGAAAAGGGUCAGCAACAAAAUUACUGGGGUAACCAACAUCAGAAACUGAAGCACACGUCACCACAGGAUUCGCGACAGGCCAAGCAGCAGUCUCAUCGUUUGAUACAUUCGCCUGCACACAAUAAUCAACACCACCAUCAUCCUCCAAAAAAAAAAACACCCCACAUCACAAAACCAAACCCCCAAUUAAAAUAAUUCACCACCACCAUCACUCCACCAAAACAAAACCAACACUCCAACAACCUUAAAAAAAUCCUCCCACCCCCACAAAAAAAAAAAAAAACAUUUUCUUCAAAUUUUUCAUUUUAAAAAUGAUAACUUUAAGGGAGAAAUUAACACAAACAUGCACAUGAACAUCAACACCAUCCCAAGAAAGAAACUUACAGCUUCUAUGGGCUUAAGAGAGAAAGGUGAGUCACCGUAGAAAACCCCAAUAGACCAAGAACCCUCAUUGUCUUCACGACAACCGAAAGAAGAGGAAAGUGCGGUGUGCACUGUAGGCGAAAAAGCGAACCAACCGUAGAGGGUGGCAAUGGAUCCGAACAAAACGAAACACCCAAAGAAGAAAAUGAAACCCGAAGAAAAUAACCGCUUGUAGUAUUGUUGGUUCUCCAAUCUCCACCUACACGAACACUUCACACUCAUAUCACAACAACUCCCGCCGUUAGAACAACCACCACCGUUUCCGCCGCCGCCAAUCUGCCCCGAACCCAUCUCGCCGAAGAAAUGCUCGUUGCCGCCGGAAGAUCUUACACCGCCGUGGCACGUUGCAACUCCGUCACCCGCAUUUCACAAUUCACACAACCCAACCCAGCAAAACAAAUCCCGUUUUUUUUUAAGUCUCUUUCUCUGUGUGAGAGUUUUUUGCUUCUUUUUUCUUUGACGAGGGCAAGGUUGUAAUUUUGGGAAUUGUUGUGCAACUGGACCUUCCUUACCUUGGUGGUCUGCUAUAUAUACCGUUUAUUUCGGCACUUAGUGUUAAAUAGAAAAAUGGGUUUUAAUUGGCUUAUUAAUCCAAUAAUCUGGUCCAACGUUAAUUGCGCGCGUGUGAAGUUGAAUAGUACUCGCUGCCAAUGACGAAUAACGUAACUCUUCAACGCGGAGCAAGCACGGGACAAUAGAUGAGAGAAGAACCGGAGAAGCUAUUUGGGUAUUUCCCCGAAAUUACGCUAUAUGCAAAUCUAAUCUAUAAAAGCUAAAUAAAAGUAAUGGUUAUAAUUCUUUGGCAAAAUUGUUUCUAAAGUUUAUUUUAGAUUAUGUAUUGCAAAUGAUAUAUAUUUAUUGUUGUAUAAUUCAAAUUAAAUUUUUUAGUAAAUGCUAAAUAAUUUAAAUUAUACCAUAAGAUUAUUUUUUAAUUGCUGAUAUUUAAUCAUUAUUGAAAUUUAAUUUAAAAGCAGAGAAAAAGCCUAGCAGGUUAAAAGAGAUAGACAAUUAAAAAAAUCAAAUGCCCAUAAGAAAAUAAAAUAACAGUGCUUUGAGGUAAUUGAAAAGGAAUUUAUUUUGGCUAAUAACAUAAGUAAUGUAUAAAAUCCACAUUCUAAUAAAAGUAAAUAGAUAAUAUGUAUAUGAAAAGAGUCUAAAUAUCAUUUAGUUGAAUAAGAUGUGUGACUGUUGUAAUUUCUCUAUUAUCAUGUUUAAUUUUUGUAAAUAAAAAAAAACAUGUAUGCCAAAAAAAAUAGAUAAUAUGUCUAUUUGAGAGAGAGACCGGAGAAAAUUAAAAUCUCACUCCUUACGUAAUACAGUAUAUACUUAUUUAGAAUAUUAAAAUAGAUUUCGAUUAGAAUGAUUUUAGUUCGCAAGCAUCAAUCUCUUGCUAUAUAAAUUAAAACUUUUAUUUUAUUCUCUAAUUUUAUAUAAAAAUAAUAAUUUUCUAUGUCAUUUUUCAAAAAUAUAAAUUAAAGAAGAGUAAAUAAAAAGUUUAUGGAAUUAAAAAUUAAAAUAAGUGUCACUUUUUUUUUACGGUGAAAUAAGUGUCACUUAUAACUUAUAACUGAAGAAAUUAAAGCAAACCUAAAAAAAAACUAUAGAAAAAACGAGAGAUUUCUCUUUACAAAAGUGCUACCACCUUGAGCAACUCGUGGCCGUCGUAAUUAUAUUGGAGGGCAAUCUAUGGAUAGAUCGUGAAGGUAUAAAGAAGGCAGGGUUUCAAAUUUGAAUAUGCAAACCAGUGAGAGUUUUGGGUCCACUUGCUUUCAUUUUCUACUCGGAUUAGAGGGAGGAGAUACUAAGACUAAGAUGUCAGUAGUAAUACAUUAAUAUUAAUUAUUAUACCGAGAAACCAGAAGGUUUAUACAGGGUGGAUAUGACUAUUACAACAAUCGAUCAAUUACCACGUGUGUAUAGAAGAUUUGCUCCAAUGUCUAGAUAUAUAUAUUCACGCUUAAUUGAACUAAUAGUUGUCUUUGACGGAUCCAAAAAAAAAAACUAAUAGUUGUCUUAUUUGAAUUUUUUGGGGAAUACUAUUUCACUUGACGUAAUAGAAAUAAUCAUUCCUUAAGAGUUAAGAUCCCCUAAUUUUAUUUUAAAAAAUCCCCUAAUUGUUUAUAUAUAUAUAUAUAUAUAUAAAUUGGUCCUUCGUCGUAUCUUAACUCUAUUUAACAACAAAAUUACACUAUUUCCAUUUUUUUCUUUAACUACACUAUUUUCAUUAAACUUAAAAUGCUUAUACUAAUUAAUUUUUUUCAUUAAAUAAAAGCUACACAAAUAAAAUAAAAAACGUAUAAUUUUUUUUCUAUUAGCAUAUAAUAUUUUUAGCAAUGUGUGUAUUUUGGAAUAAUCUAUGUUUUUUUAGUUAUCUCAACAAAUUUAAUUAUCUCAGCGUAUGAUAUAAUUUUUACAAUGUUUUUUAUUAUUUAUGUUCUUGUAUGUCGUAAUUUAUUAAAAUUUAAACCAUUAAAUUUCCUAACCAAUAAUAUGAGAAAGUUUUACUUUUUUUCAUCUAAACUUCAACAUCCGAUUUCCUAUCACCAAAAAAAAAGCAUCCAAUAGGUUUUCUUAUAACUUAGUUAAGUAUGGUGCGGAAGUCUUAUAAAUUUCUUAAUACUUAUAUACAAUUCCUAUCAAUAAAAAAUAUUUAAUUUUAUUCUGAUGAUAUAUAUAUUAUUUGAUUCUCUAUAAUGGUAUUGAAUGGUGGUGCCUACUUAUUCCGGCAGCUGAUUAUGAUUCAGCAAUCGGCCAGCCGAAGAGACUCUGGCUUGCCAAGCUUGACUGCACCCUCUUGUCCUCUCAUAUGGAACCCAAUAAAAAUAAAUAAAUAGCAAUGGCAAAAAGGAAAACCUAACUCUUUGCCCUUUACAAAUAAUAAUAAUAAAUAAAUAAAGGACAUUAUCACCAAAUUAAUGCCUUUUCCUUGUUAUGAUAUGAUGAUAUUCUUGUUUGGACCAACAAGACGGCUCACACAAGCCGGCCGUAAGAAAAUUUAACCUUUGUUGUUUUGUUAAUAUUAAGAAUUUUAUUAUUUUAUUUAUUCUAUCUCUUUAAUCAGUGGGUUGAAACUUAAAAUGAUUGUUUAUAGUUGAAUUUCUUUAAUCAACAAAUAUUAAUUCGUUAGUUAUUAUUUUUUGUUAAUACUAGAUAAUCAAACUCAUGAUUUUUUUUUACGUAAUUGUAUUGUUAUUUUGCAUGGUGUAGUCUGUGAUUGAUUAUGGUGCAUGUGGUAGAACAGUGCAAUUGGAAAGCACCUUUUUAAUCCUGUUCAUGUUUCCGAUUGUUGCAAUGUGAGAAGAGGAACCUUCUCUUGAAUAUGUCUCUCAAAACCCCGACUGAAAUAUAUACCGCGGCGGCGUACUCUUCAGUCUUCACUUCCAUUGGAUUUGCUUCAAACAUCUACCUAUUUACCCUCGUCCAAGUAACCGCAUAUUUUUCACUUGUUAAUAAGAAAAUCAACUAUAUAUUAAUACUAUGUGUGCAUGUAUAACAAAUCAUAUAUCCGUUCACUUUAUCCUUCCUACUUUUGCAAAUAAAACGAGUUUAAUUAUAACAGAAAUUUAAAACUCAUACGUACAUGUAUAAUCAAUAUUGUGGGCUCUUUUAAAUAAUACUUUUAGCUAAGUGAAUAGUGAAGCAAUGAAGUGGCAUAUUCAUUUUUAUUUUUCGAUCUUUUAAAUGUUUUGAAUAAUAGAUAAAAGUGUUAACAUGUGGGGAUCGAGUUGAAAUUGAAUGGGAAAAGAGAGAGAGGAAUUUUUAAAUUGAUAAAAUAAAGUUUAAGAUGAUAUUAAAAUUAUUUUAAUAUGAAUUUUUCUAAUAUCUUUAUUAUUAUUUAAUGAUAUUUUAACUUUUGGUUAAUUAUAUCUAUAAAACUCUUUAUAUGAAAAAAUUAUUCAUCCGUUUGAAUUGUGGUCAACGGUCAACAUUAUAUCUAUAAAACCCUUUGACCAUUUCAUAACCAAGUCUGUAUUUCUUCACGGGAAAGGAAUUGUUACCUUCUGUUUGACUUAGUCAAUCUUGAGCUCCAAACAGUAAUUCAUAUAUUUUCUUAAAAAAUUGAUUCCCAAGUUUUUAUAUUUUUAUCUAAUGUUUAAUUACGACAUUGAAUUAUUUUUUAUUUGAGUAUCUGAACUUUUAUUUUUUACUUGAAUUUUUCUAUCUAAAUAUUGUUACGAAAGAGUUGGUCGACACUUAAUUAGAGAUGCAUAAAUUGAAGUGUAUUGUAAACACAACUCACUUAAUUGUGAUAAUUUUUUUUGCAAAGUUUAGAGACUUAUAAAAUAAUACUUGUGUUGAAUUGACUUGUAUAUAUAGAAAUUAUGUAAAAUUAUUUUGUAAUUGACUUAGUUGUAAAAAUGACAAUGGAAUGAGUUAGGGAUAGAUUUGGCAUUUUUCACCUCAUCCCCACAAAAGGUUAGAUUGUGUGCAGGUAUAAAAUAUACUAAUUUAAAAUUUUAAUACUCGUUCCCAUCCUCGUUGGAUUUUAUUAGGUUCAUGUAUAUCAACGGGUAACCCACUACAUUCUAAUUUUACUUUAUUUAUAUAUUUUAAAAAAAUUAAUAUUAAUUUCUUAAUUAUAUUUUAAUUCAAAUAAUAUAUAAAUAUAAUAAAUGACAAAGAAAUUAAAGUUAAAAAAUUAAUAAUUCAAUUAUAUUUUUAUUUAAAUGUAUAUUUUUAAGUUUGUUAUUUGAUUAUUUAUCUAUUAAUAUAAUUUAUUUAUAUUUUCAAAAAAAUAUAAUAAAAAAAUAUAUAAUAUUAUAUAUAUAUAUAUAUAUAUAUAUAUAUAUAUAUAUAUAUAUAUAUAUAUAUAUAUAUAUAUAUAUAUAUAAAGUAAUAAUGACAAGUAAAUGUACCAAUAUAAUUUGACACACAUUCUCAUCUCAUUUCCGCUUAACAUUUUGGGUAAUACCUAUAUUCAUACUCGGUCAAAAUUAAUAUUUUUCAUUAAAGUUGGAUAGGUUUAGGGUGAUACUCACAAAUAAGAGGUUAUUUGUCAUGUCUACUCAUUUUAGCUUACAACGUCUUUAAAAGCACCACCAAUCCAUUGUAUGUACCUCUAAUUAGAUGUAUGUGAUUAUUUUUUCAUAACAACAAUUAAAUAAGAGGAUCCAAAUAAAAAAAAAAUCAAAAACUUAAUUAAAAAUUUAAUAAAAGCAUAGGACCCAGAAUAAUAAAACUUUUUUAAUACGAAAUUAUUUUUACGGAUAUGUUUUUUUUCAACACAAUUAACAUCCAAAUGUUAUAUUUAGUAUUUAAUUAAUUUAAAUAAAAUCGAAUAAAAAUAUUAAGGACAAAAUUUUCAUCAUCCAAGAAUAUUUAUAAUGUUACGGGGUUAACUUUUUCAAUAAGGUUUUUUUAUAUAAAAAACAUGAUCCAGAUAUUGUACUUAAAGAAAACCAUUCAUAUAAUAUAUCACCUUCAUUACAAUGAUAUGCUUAUGAAAAUCUUAACAUGGUUUUGAAUAAUUAAUGGAAAUAUUACUUUUAUCUCGUAUUAUUUGUCUUUUUAAGAUAGUGUGUACAUUUCAAAAUAAUUAAGAAAAGUAAAAAUUAAAACUAAACUCGGCAAUUAUUGAAAUGGCACUUAUAAUGUUGAUUAACAAUCCAAGAUUGGAUUUCCUUCUCAACAAAUGUGUGGCCUUUGUGAUGUGUUUAAUGUUUUAUUCGUGCUAGAGAAGCUUCGUGGGGGUAGGCUGAUAGCGGCUCUUGGAAAAACCGAAACUUCACGGUGAAAGUAACAGUUUAGUCAAUGGAUGGAUAUGCGAUACUCCAUUAUUAUUCACAAUAACACUAUGUAGAACAUUGUUGAGGCUGUCAGUUUCAAACUUACUUAAUGGCCACUCAUCAUUAUCUUUUAUUUUAGGACAAAUAAUCAUCUUUGUCUUUGAAUGAAUCACUAUAUAAUUUAAUGAUAAAUAUAUUUUUAAAAGAUAAAAAUAUAUAAUUUAGUUGUCGAAAGUAUAAAAAAUAUAAUAAAUAUAUUUGAACAUUAAUUUUCGUCCAUCAUCGUUAAUAAAAUAGUCUAUGUGACAUAUAAGAUGAAUUUAUCACGGAAAUGAUUGUCAAUAUAUCUAUUUCUAAUUGUCAACGUAGAGACAUAUUUAUUCUAUAAUAUUUUAUUAACUUUUCGUCUUCUCACUUUUUGGAAAUAUGAAUGGGUAAAUAAUCACUUUUGUUCUUGAAUGUGUGAUUCGCUAAAAAUUAUGUCUCUAAAAGAUAAAAAUACAAAAUUUAAUCCCUAAAAGUGUAAAAAUUAUGACAAAUAUAUCCGACCGUUAACUUUAAAAUAGCAAAGAUUCGAAUAAGUAAAAUAUGAGAUAUAUUUAUCUUUUAGGGUAAUUUAGAAAAAUUUGUAAUGAUUGUUACGGUGUUUUAUUUCGAUAAACUAGAACAAUGAAACAAUAUUUAUUUUGGAUAAUUUCUAUUGUGACAGAUAAAUUAUGGAUGAUAAUCAAUAUGAUCAUUAUUAUUAUGUUUGUUUUAAAUUAUGUUUGCCAAUAUAUUUUUUUAAAGUGAUUAUUGUAAUGUUAUACUUGAAUGAUACAAAAUAAUGAAAAUUUAUUCUAAAAUUAUAUUUUAUCCUUAAUUUAUUGUAAUGUUAUACUUGAAUGGUACAAAAUAAUGAAAAUUUAUUCUAAAAUUAUAUUUUACCUUUAAAUUAAAUAAAAAUUUUGGAUUUAACAAAUUAGUCCAAUAGAAACAUAAUGAUAUUUAGGUCUAAUAAAAAAUUAUUAACAUUUUCAUCUAAUAAUGAUAACUUAUUAACAUUUUUUGUCCAAUAGAAUGUGCUGACAUUUAGGUCAACAAAAAAUAUUGACAUUUUCUUUCAAUAAAAAAAUAUUAACAUUUUCGUUCAACAAAAAAUUACUGACAUUCACGUCUAAUCUUGAUGUCGUACUGACCUGUAUGUCCAAUCUGGUCCACGCUGUCUCGAAAACAUUCAAAUUUGCGACUUAUGCACUCCGUAGAAUCACGUAUACUAUAUGAUGGACGAUGAUGGACGAAGGUUAACAAGGGAUAUAUUUGUACUACUUUUAACACUUUAAAAAAUUACAUUUCAUAUCUUGAUAUUUCAUGAACAAAUUUGUUAAAGAAAAAAAUAAUUAUCUACCCUUCAUUUUAUAUCCAACUUUUGCAAAUGCAAUGAUAAUCUACCCUUCAUUUUAUAUCCAACUUUCAAUAUAUGUCUCAGUUGUNNNNNNNNNNNNNNNNNNNNNNNNNNNNNNNNNNNNNNNNNNNNNNNNNNNNNNNNNNNNNNNNNNNNNNNNNNNNNNNNNNNNNNNNNNNNNNNNNNNNNNNNNNNNNNNNNNNNNNNNNNNNNNNNNNNNNNNNNNNNNNNNNNNNNNNNNNNNNNNNNNNNNNNNNNNNNNNNNNNNNNNNNNNNNNNNNNNNNNNNNNNNNNNNNNNNNNNNNNNNNNNNNNNNNNNNNNNNNNNNNNNNNNNNNNNNNNNNNNNNNNNNNNNNNNNNNNNNNNNNNNNNNNNNNNNNNNNNNNNNNNNNNNNNNNNNNNNNNNNNNNNNNNNNNNNNNNNNNNNNNNNNNNNNNNNNNNNNNNNNNNNNNNNNNNNNNNNNNNNNNNNNNNNNNNNNNNNNNNNNNNNNNNNNNNNNNNNNNNNNNNNNNNNNNNNNNNNNNNNNNNNNNNNNNNNNNNNNNNNNNNNNNNNNNNNNNNNNNNNNNNNNNNNNNNNNNNNNNNNNNNNNNNNNNNNNNNNNNNNNNNNNNNNNNNNNNNNNNNNNNNNNNNNNNNNNNNNNNNNNNNNNNNNNNNNNNNNNNNNNNNNNNNNNNNNNNNNNNNNNNNNNNNNNNNNNNNNNNNNNNNNNNNNNNNNNNNNNNNNNNNNNNNNNNNNNNNNNNNNNNNNNNNNNNNNNNNNNNNNNNNNNNNNNNNNNNNNNNNNNNNNNNNNNNNNNNNNNNNNNNNNNNNNNNNNNNNNNNNNNNNNNNNNNNNNNNNNNNNNNNNNNNNNNNNNNNNNNNNNNNNNNNNNNNNNNNNNNNNNNNNNNNNNNNNNNNNNNNNNNNNNNNNNNNNNNNNNNNNNNNNNNNNNNNNNNNNNNNNNNNNNNNNNNNNNNNNNNNNNNNNNNNNNNNNNNNNNNNNNNNNNNNNNNNNNNNNNNNNNNNNNNNNNNNNNNNNNNNNNNNNNNNNNNNNNNNNNNNNNNNNNNNNNNNNNNNNNNNNNNNNNNNNNNNNNNNNNNNNNNNNNNNNNNNNNNNNNNNNNNNNNNNNNNNNNNNNNNNNNNNNNNNNNNNNNNNNNNNNNNNNNNNNUUUUAUUAGUGUUAUCUAAACGAGUAUUUUUGGGAAGAAGAAUUCCAUAAGCUAACUUAUGGCAUGUCCUCAGCAAGUGGUUCGCAUAGUUCUCCCUUAGAUUCAUUAUAGCAUGAAGGGUAGUGGGGUAUGGCAUGACGCCGCCAAAGAAAUUAGCAUUGGCUUUGAACGUAAAUAGGGACACAAGUAUCGUUGAGGAGGAGGCUAGCCUUAAAAAAAAAUAAAAAUUGGUGACGGCUGAGAACAGCAUACAUAUAUAUUAGGAUACCUUCCUAGAUCAAACUACAGUAUACAAUAGUACAUGGUCUUUUGUGUACAAUAAAUUUAUAUUUUUAUAUUUUCUGUUAAUUGGACAUUUAUGAAACAUUAAUUGGACAUUUAUGAAACAUCAACCUCUAAUGUCUCUCUUAAAGAUUUACUUUAUGUGAUUGAACACGACAUUUAAGUACAUCAAUUAUUUUUUUUUUCAUUCUCAUAAUUUUAAUUUUUUUUAUUCAAACACAAAAUUUUAAAAAUAAAAGAAUUUAAAUUAAAAUAUUUAAAAUUCCUCGUCCAAACACACUCUUAAUAUUCCAAUUGCUCCUUUAUAGUGAAGUAUAUACCUUGUUUCAUGGCAUAAAAAAAUAUACCUUGUUUCAAGCUCGCUGCUACCAAAAGAUGCCUUGCUAGGAUAAGUGGCAUAAUGCUCGUCCACUUAAUUCUAAUUUGGGUUAUGACAGCGAAUUAAGUAUUAGGCUCAUUACUGGAUAAAAAAAAGUAGAAAGAAUCUUCUAUUGGUCAAUACGAAAAGGAAAUCAGAAACAGUUAUCAUGGAAUUUAUUAUCCACCAGCUACAUGCUUGGGCAUGAUGUUUCUUUUAUGCUUUUCUUGUCAAGAUCACAUAUAUUUUUUAAUUUAUUAUAUUAAAAAUUAAUUUUAUUUAUGAUGUGUGAUUGUUAUUAAUCUAAAAAAAUUUUACAGAUAAAAGAAAUUAAAUAUAAAUUUUUCUCUGUUAAAUAUUUUUUUCCACAUGUAAAUACAAUAUAUUCUUAGACCACUUAUCAAAAUUCUUUUUUUUUAAUUUCUUUUUUGAAAAAAAGGAAAUUCGAGUAAAGAUUUGAUUUGAUUUCAGAAAAAAAAAUUAAAGGAGGACAUAUUAAUUAGUCUUUUAAAAAACUAAAACAAAAAUCACUUUAGUUUUUAAAAAUUAUAAAUGGAAAUGACUAUAUUAAUACAAUAAACGCUUUUCACAUUGAGCAUUUAUAUUGGGUUUUUUUACAACUAAUGUAAUAUGUAAGGCAACCAAUAGUUAAUAUAUAUUGAGAUCAACAUUUUAAAUUUAUCGUAAGAGAAAUCGGUCUAGAAAGUUUUUUUUUGCAUUAAUUGCUUUGCAGCUGAUCCAUCCAGAAUUUAGGAAGAGUAGGGAGUAAACGUAGAUGGUGGUUUUUAUUUGUCGAUGUUUAAAUUAUGGUUAAAAUAUAUAUUUUUUCCUUAAAAUUUAAGUGAUUGUUUUUUUUCUAAAUUUAAAUUUAUUUCUUAAAGUUCUUUAAUUUUUAAAAAUAUUCUUUUUAAUUAUUUUUAACUGAUUUUUGACCGUUUUAAUACAUAACUUGUGAUAAAAUUUUACCACGUAAGAAACGAAAAAGAAAAAAUAAAUAAAUAAAUUUAGGAGAUAGAAAAAGCGUGACCUACAAAAUUUGAGGAGAAAAAACAUAUUUAAAAACUAUAUAUUUAUGUUGCAGCGAAAAAAACUUUCAAUUGAUGACUUUAAUAACUUGGUGCAUUUAUAUCAAGACAGAAUUGCAAGUAAUUUUUUUUUUAUAAAUCCCAAGUUAAUUAUAACCAAUAAAAGUUGAUGGCACACAGAGAUUGGCUUCUCAUUUGUCCAUAUGCUAUGUUUCCAUUUAUCAACGCCCAUGUGUAUCCUAAGGUUCCUACCUGACACACACAAAUCCACAAUCUUGCAAAAGCUGACAUAUAUAGUAGAUGUGCCAAUAUUGUUUUCUUACCUUAAAGAGGCACCCUUAUGGGCAUAAAUUGGGUUCGUUGUAUGUCACAUCAAUAUUGUUUUCUUAAUUAGUUUUUUCUGCUGUGAUUAGGCAGUACUAAUUGUACUAUUGAAUCUCAGUUUACACGUAUGUUUCAAUUAAUUCAUAAUCAGCUUGUGAUUUCACCAUACUUUUAUUUUCCUUUUGAUAUUCACAUCCUAAUCUAUCUAUUUUGGAUUUUUUUUUUCUUCCUCUAUAUCAUGAAUGACAUCAAUUAUACAUCUUUAUUUAAAGAGAGACAAAUUGAGUCUCAAGAAACAUCUUUCACCAUUUUCUGUGGAAAUAAUUGGGGAGUCAACAAAUUGAAAAACAUUAACACUAAGAUUAAAUUCGCAUGUUCAAACGUCAACCACUUUAAUCAUGAUACCCAAAAAUACAAAUGGAAAACAUAGAUUCUGAAAACCUUCUAUUUGCUACUAUAAUGUUUAAAUCAACCCUAGGUAAUAUGUUUUCAAUAUCGAUCAAUUCACAUGUGCUUCAAAUUUUUUUUUAUAUAUAUAUAUAUAUAUAUAUAAAUUUCUAAAAAGAGAGAAAUAACGAUUGAUGCCAUUAUUUUAAACUAUGAUUGUUGUUGUGAUAAUAGAAAUUUUAAACACAAUAAAUAGUAAAAUAAAAUCAUAUAGGGCAAUAUAUAAAAAACGAGGUUAGGUAUAUAUGCUAGCAAGAUUAAUUUGGCUAGCCCUUCACAGGUCAACAAUGUGAUGUAUGAUUGUAUGUCAUAUUUCAGUCAAAGAAGUAAUCACGUCCAAAACAUUUGCUUGGAGGAUCAGACAAGAAAUCACGAUAAGACCAACUAUAUUGUUGUGGCUUGUUAUUCGAUUCAUGGAAAUUUCAAUGUACCUGUACCUUAAAUCAACUUCGAGAAUUAUUUUUAUCUCGUCUUUCGUAAUUCUAAAGUGCUGCCAUUAAAUUGAUUUUUUUGUUGUCUACUUUGUCUUCUUCAUAUUCUUUCUCAUACAACUUUCUGAAUUUGAGUCUAAUUUAAUUUUAAAAAUUAUCUCAUAAAAUAAAAGUUAUCUCAUUUAUAUAUUUUAUCUUAUCAUUAUUUUUACCUCAUGAGAAAUUUGGGUUUUCCCAAUAAAAAUCAAAUAUAUAAAUUUCAUUAUGAGAGCAAUCGCCACCACUCUGUUGUUUAAGUUAUACUUUAUAAGAUUCUAUGCAAAAAUAUGAAGCACAGAUAUGGGUCCUUGACACUGCCAUUUUCCAAUGAAAGACACGGGCAUGUCCAUGUUCAUUUAAAUUUAUUUAUUAAGUUUAAUUAGCAGCGUAUAGAUUAAAAAGAGAAAACUGUAUAAUAGGUAGUCUCAAAAAUUAUUUUAUGGCUUAUUUAUCGUCUAAUUAAGUUACUUUAAAUAUCCUCCCAAUUAUAGAUUAAUUAAUAAUCCUGAAAAUGUUGUACUAUUGGAAAAUUAAGUUUAAUUUUUAUUGUGGUCAUUGUAAAAAAAGUAUUUUACAAGUGAAAUAGGUUAAAUUUAACGAAUGUGCUUUUUUGGCAAGCCCUAAAAUUAAAUUAGAAUGGAAAGAAGCUUUGAUGAUGGAUAUAUAUGUGUCCCCCCUAUGCAUUAAUGUGUUAUGCAUAGGUGGGUCUCAUAUAGGAUGCAACAAAACAAAACAAAACAUAUAUUACUCAAAAAAUCCAACUAAUUAACUUGACUCAAGUUAUGGUGGGACACUCUUACAAGAACUAGACCAGGGACACUAACUUGAAGCGUUGGAACUUUAUUAAUUAGAAGGAGUGGUUAUAUUGAAGACAAAGAAAGAGACGUACACUCACCCUUGGAGAGAUGAAACAGAAGAGGGAGUGCCAUAAUGAUCCAUAGCAUAGGUAAUAGUAGUAGAUUGCAGCCAUGUAUCAUAAUCAUGGACGAGGAAAAUUUAUUAAUUAUGUACCCAUUGGUGAUGAUCAUUGUUAAUUUGUUCUCAUCUAUUAAAAUAAUUCUUCCAUAUAUAAUUAGUCUGUACCAUUAAUUAUAUAUAGAUAUAGAUUAUGGAAUGGAAACAAAUGACAACCACAUUAUUUUUUUAACUAUCAAAUAAUUACUUGAAAGUUGAAACACAAAAUAUCAAAAAUAAAUAACACCGAUAGUGUAAAUUUUAUAUUAUUAUUUAAUCAGAAAUUAUCAUAUAACAAAUUUACUAGUUUUUUUAAUAAAUUCUUUAAAAUUCAUAUUAAUGAUUGGCAAGUUAUUUAAAUUUAUAUAAAAUUUUCUUCAUCUUGGCAGUCAAUAUGUGGUGUAUUAAGCUCAAGGACAAAUUAUUACAUAAAUUCAGUAUAGUUAAUAAGGGGAAGAAUUAAAAAAUAUUAUAUCAUUAUGAAUAUACUAAUAAACAUAAUAAUUUAUAAUAAAAUUAAUGAUGUUUUAUACCAAGAUAAUUAAAAUUAUUGAUGUGUAAUACUUUAUUUGUGCAAGAAUAUACCUAAAUCAUUAUUUUUAGUGUGUAUUAACAAUCGAAGAAUUUUCUUUCUUCAUUGUAGAAAUUAUUGAACUAAAAUUUAUUUCUUUUAACAAAGUCUUUUGCAUAUACACACAAUUAAGAAUAUAGAAUUAUAUCGAUAAACAUUAUUGAGAGAUUGACUAUCAAACUAAAUUAUUAUAAACAUUAAAAUUUAUCCAAAAUAUCUCCUUAUGCGUAGGUCACUUUUGCCUUCACAUUCUUAUCCUAUUUCUAGAUUUUAAGCUUCUGUGCCAACUGCUUUGAAUAUACUACUCAGAUCAGAAGUUGCAAAUAGAACCACCAAUUUUUGAAUCAUCGUAUUCUCAUGGUCAUCGCUCGUUUCUUACCUUAGAAGAGUUGAAGGGCCAAAUUGGAUUGGGUUACCCACUCAAUAAAUAAAUAAAUAAAUAAAUAAAGUCGAGCAUAUAUGAAAAUGAAUUGGGUUAUAUUAAGUUAGGAAAAUUUUCGUUGGUCAAUGCAAACCAAACAUAUGAAAAGAGGUUGAUUUAUUUAGUUGAGUAUAAAUGGAAUACACCCAUAGUAUAAACUGUCAAUCAAUUAUAUAUUAUAUUGCUAAUAUUCUAGCAUGUGUAACGUUUAAGAUAAAGGUUUAUUUUAUAGAACUAAACUUUAUAAUAAAUAAAUACUUUGAAUUUAUAAAUUAUAUUAUAUUUAAAAUUUAUGAUAGAUAAAUAUUCUUGAACAUAUAAAUUCUAUUUUAGAUUUAUGGUAAAUCACUUAUAUUGUGAUAUAAAAUUAUUUUUAAUAAUUGAUAUUUUAAAAAAAUUACUGAAAUUUGAUUUUAAGAAUAAACAUGAAAAAGUGAUUAAAAGAGACAUGAGACCAUGGAUUAAGAAAAUUUGUUAAAAUUAAUAUCGUUGAAGAAAGUUUUCUAAAAAAAUUGCCUUUCAAGAUAACUAUCUAAUUUAUAUAUAUCAUUGAAAAUUAUUAACUUUCAUAAUAAAUAUCUUAAAAAUAAAAUAAAAUAAUGAUUUAACUGGUUGAUGAUAUAAAAUAUUUUUAAAUUAUAAAUUAAAAUCAAAAUUAUAUCAAAAAAACUAAAAUCAAAAUUAAACUCUGUGUUUUUAUGGUUUUGUUCGUGAACUAUCUAUUUGUUACUCAAUUCUAACAAACUUAGUCUUAUAAUUUUUCAUUUGAUUACUUAAACCAUCUCAAAUUAUAUUUUUCUUAUUUAAAUUGGAUCAGUUAUUCAAAUUCAUAUAUAAGUCUAUCAAGUCUUCUAUUAUUUUUCUUAGUCCAGUUGGUACUUAGUUUAACGGUGUGGGUUAGUACAUCUGGUUUUGGUUUAAUAUUUACCCAACGAGAAUAAUUAAGUAGACUUAUAUGUGGCUCUUUACAUCAGACAAAUAUAAAAGUACAGUUUGAUUUUUAUGAAAGGCCAUUCCAAUUUGAUUCUCUUUAGGCUAGGAAUAGGAUCGAUGUUACUUAAUUAAUUUAAAUAAUCAUCAACUAUGCAUGCAAUGCUUCAAAUUCCUAUAUAUCUUAAUAUUAUUUAGCAUGAAUCAAUUGAUAUAAAAUAGUUUUAGUUUAAUUAAUUAUUUUAAGUUCAAAUUUUGACUAUAUAAUUAUAUUAAAUAUACAAAAACAAAAUUUUAUCAUAUAUAAUAGUUUUAUUUAACUCAAACAAUAAUAUUUUUCAAAAAAAAAAUGUUUGUGGAAUAUAUAAAAGAAAAACUCUAACUCUAAAGCCUUUCAUAAUGAACAGUUUGCCUUGCCCACAUACAUAUUUAACAGCUCACUUAAAGUGUUAUAAUUAUUCCUGACAUGCCGUAUGGAUUUUUUCCCUUAUUUUAAUUUUUCAGGAUCUUGUGUCAGAAGAAUAAGAAUAAGAGAAGGCUAAAUUGUAAAUAAAAUAAUCUGGUUUAUGGCUGGAGUUUAAUUGUAAGAUAAAGUAGUCUCUUAAUCUACAUUACGAAAUUACAUCUUUUUCUUUCAAUUUAAAUUGCUAGUGUUUUUUUUUUCUUGAAUUUAUCUUCAUCAUGUUUACUCCAACAAGUAAUGAAUAAAAUAACUUUGCUGAUCAUGUUUUCCUCCUAUUGAACAAUUAUUUGUGAAUGAAAUGAUAUAAGUAAAACAAAAAAAUUAUAUAAAUAUUUGACAAUGUAAUAUAUAUGUCAGUAAAAUUGAAAUUGUUUAUUAUUUGAGACUUAUGUUAUAACUUAGUCCGUAGCUGGUCGGGCGUAGGGGGUGGUUGUUAUUUUUCUGUACCAAAUCGUAACUGUUAACCAACAUUUGACUAAUUAAUCAAAUACUUAGUGCCAAAUACCAAUCAGCUUACAUGUGAAAAGUAACUGCAAAUUCGAAUCGAUUAAGGUUACAUAUGUAAACUUGGUCAAUAUAUUUGUAUUUUAAAAAAUUCAUGUGAAGAUCGUUUUUACUUUAAAGGGUAAACAGGUACAUGAUUUACGAUAGGCUUACAACAGCUGUAGUGAUUUAACUUUAUGUGCUAAUAUAUACGCCAUGGACGCCCUUCUUUAUUUCCCCCAACUGUUGUUGAGUUGUAUAUAUUAUACAUGGUUAAAUAUAUUUUAUCACUUAUACAUUUUUUAUUUUUUAUUUUUUAAUAAAUUUUUAUUUUAUGGUGAAUCUUUAAUAAAAUAAUAAUUUUAUUUUUUUUAUUCUUUUGAUACUUAUUUUUAAUCUUGAUAAAUUAAUAAAUUUUAUUUUUAUUUCAUAAUAAAAAAAAUUAUUUGUUAUUAUUUGAGACUAAAACAAAAUUUAUUGAUUUACGAGGAAGUAAAAUAAAAUAUGAAAAAAAAUAUUACUUUAUUAGAAGCUCAACGCAAAAAAAAAUUAUUAAAAUAAUCAAAAAUUGAUUAUUUUAUUAGGAAUAAAAGAAUAUAUUUAAGUCUAUUAUAUAUAAUAAAAAAACUUAUUUUCUUAUGUUUUGUUAAAAAUAAUGAACAGAUAAUAAUUACUUCAAAUUAAAAAUAUUGUCAUUUUUUCCUUUUUUUUUUUAUAGAUCCUUUUCUUUUUAAACCCGUACAACUAAAUUUGGGUAACAUUGUUUGCAGUAAGAUGAUUAAGAUGAUUAAGGUUACACGAUUUUAAGAAUGCCUUAUAAAUUUCAACUGAUUAGAUUAAUAAUAUAAAUUUAAGAGUCAUAGUGAUACUAUAUCUUAUUCAUACAAACAGGAUUGCCUUUCAUUAGAAAAUAACUCUACUCUAAAAAAAGGAAAAGUGGGAACUAGAAUGCAAACAAACAUAUAAAAUAAAAUCAAAUAUGAAUAAGAAAGGAGGUACAUUUUUUUUAAAAUUAAUUACUCGAGAUUCUUUUAAAGCAAAAUGGGCACUAAGCUGAGGCCAAUUGUUUGCCAUAAUCCUAAUUAGGUUCAUUGGAAGAUCUAGGACCCUAAGUAGGAGAAUAAUUUAUUUAAAAAAUAAAAUUAAUUAUUAUUAUCAUAAAAGAAGUAAAAAAAAAUCCAGGACAAGAAAUUAAAAAAUAUAAAAUUAGAAAGAGCAAAAUAUACAUAUUUAAGAUAUUAUAUGUAUUUUUUUUUAAAGUGACACCCCUCAUUCAAGUUUGGAUCUGCCAUUGAGGUUGGCACCACAACCAGCAAGGCCAAAAUAACAAAAGCAAUUAGUCAAGAUUUUGAUAAAUUGGUUUAUAUGCCUUUUUCUAGAAUAUUUUUUUAAUAAUGAGUCUAUAUAUAUAAAAAAAGAAGUUUAUAUGCUUUUUUUUUCUUUAGUGGGUGAGUAAUUUUAUAUUUUUCACGUUUCAUCCAAUUUGACUUUUUUUUAAUUGUGUAGCAUCAUUCUUUCCAUUACAACAAUGAGUUAGCAAAGGGUCAAUUCCGAUAGACAAAGUCCAAUGUGCGAUUUAAUUCCGUUGGAACAUGAACACAUGCAUUUUGAGAAGAACCGUAGACAUAGUCAUAAUCUAAGCAUCUUAAACUUUGAACAUGAUACACAAUAUCUGUACUAGUUAAUAACCCGAAUAAAUUUUAUUUAUUCUGCUGAUCAUUACUGACAAUGUGACUAAUAAUUUUUGUUAGUUUUGAAACAUGAUUUAUUGUUUUUCCAUUGAAAAUUGGCAUCUGAUUGUUAGAAGAUUGUGGGGAAGGCUUUAUUAAGUGGGCACUACAUCUGCCAAAUAAAUAUUUAUAUUUAUUAGAAGCUUAACUUGAAGGGUUUGACAAACAAGUUGAGUUGAUAAGAACUAGGCCUUUGGAGUUUUGAAUUUUUUGGGUUGGAGACAUAUUUCUACUGUCCUUCUCCCUCUCUCGUUACCAACUUGAUUUUUAAGUAUUCAUGUUAUGAUUGAUUUUGUCUUUGCUACUUAAUUCCAAUUCUAAUGUCAAUUUGUCAAUGUUAAUUUUCAUAUUUUAUUACCCGUGGUUGCCUUAAUGGGCUUCCUACAAGCAACCCCAUGUUUACAAGGAAACAUUUUCUCAUAGGAAAAAGUAAAAAGCAAAAGAAAAAGAAAAAACAACUUAACUUUGUUAUUUUGUUUAAGAAAAUGUAUUUCGCACCUAGUUUUAUCAUUUUCAAUUUACCGAUUUAUAUUAAAUGCCAACAAUAUUUGAAUUCAAAUCUGUGUUGGGUAGUCAUAAAUCAUUUUUAAAUAUUUUUAAUAGAAAGUGUUCAAAUUGGAGUUGGGAAGUGUAAAAGUGAAAAAGAUGAGCCGAACUUUAUUCUGAAACUUCUUGGUUGGAACCCAGUUGGCCAUGCCUAUGGUCCCGUAAACCUUCAAUUUCAUUGUUUUUAUUAUAAUUGGAACUAUUUAAGGCUGUUUUGUAUUUAUGUAACUCUUUGGCUCUUAAGCUGGAAGAUUCAAAGCACUCAUAGUGGUGGGGCUAUGAAAGAAGAAAGGUUAUCUCUUAUUGGAUAAUUUUGGAUAUAUAUUUAAGGACGAAGGAUAUUAAUUAGAGUACUAUAAUGGAAAGGGGAAAAAAAAACAAUACAAAUAACCUUUUUCCUUUUGCAGUAUAAAACACUCCAUAUUCUCCCUCCACCACUACAAAGGAAAAUGAAAAUAUAUAAAAUAUUUCAUUUCACUCUCACAUGUCAGAUGUUACAUUAUGUAUCUCCAUCCAACGUAUUAGUCACCCAAUUAAAUUAAGUAAAAGUGUUUUAGGAGAACCGUAUAUAUUGAAAUAUUUAAUUGACAUUUGUGGCUAUGAUGUCUCGUGCCAGAUAGCCAGAUACGUAGAGCUGGUUCUGGUAAAGCAUAAGUUGGCAUGUUAGUCAUUUAUCAUUUAUCUAUUUGUCUUUCUAUAAGUUUAAUAAUAAUAAUAUAAUCUUUUCUCAUUACUGGGUUGUCCUCAUUUUAUAACUAAGAUUCCAGACUGUAUGGACAUUGGGUCUUAAAUCUUAAGUUACAUUGACCAAACCAAACAAUUUUGAGCACUACAAGGAGCCAUAUCAAGCAUUUUGAAUGUAUAUCUUUACCCUGUGCAUAGAAUAUUUCAUUUUUGCGCUUAAAAAUAUAUUUUUUAAACAAAAUGAUUUAUAAAUCCUUAAAUGAAUAUGUCAUCAAGGAUUCUGUCUAAAGUCUCCCACACAGUGUCACAGUGACAAAUUGUAGUUCAAAAUUUUGUUUGAAGAAUUGAUCACAUUCAAAACAAAAUUGUAUUCUAUGGAAGAUACUAAUGAAAAACUAAAAACAUAUCCUUAAAGAAUAUAAAAUUUGAAAACAAUAAAAUAUUAAACAUAAUUUUUUUUUCAAAUAAAUUUAAUUAUCAAAUUAACCCAAUUUUCAUAAUUGUAAAACUUUUUUUAUUCAUCUUUUAAAAAAAUUGGGUGUCCCAAGGUGAAGGCCAGUUGAGGCUUUUCAAAACCCAUUCGCAAUUGGGCCGUAUUCUAGAUAGAAGGCUGUUGCUAUGCGCAUCAUGCAAAUUGCUGGUAUAUCCAGCAUAACUUGCGCAAUUCUCAUUUUGCCCUUCCAUAAAAUUGAUACAAAUUGGGCAAUUCGUAAGCCUCAUACAGAUGUCCAAACGAUUUUUAAAUAUUUUUUUUCAAAAAUAUGUUUUACGAAUUAAUUUAAAAUUAAUGGCCCAUGCAGGAAUCCAACCUGUGACUUUCUCGUUAUUAACACGACGCUCUAAUCAACUAAAUUAAUAGACCAAUUAUAUUAUAAAAUAAUUAAUAUCACUAUAUGUAACACUAAAAUUUUUAAUGUGUAUUUAAUGCACAUGUAAAUUUAGAUAAUAAAUUUUGUGACAUUUAAUUUUGAUAUAAUAAUUAAUUUGUUUAAAUAUAUAAAUUGUAAAUAAAAAUCAUAAGUUUAUUAACAUAAAUCUACUAAUGUAUUUUUUGAACUUAUUACAAUUAAUCUUGAUCUAAUAAUGUAUUUUUUUACAUAUAUAAAUUUAAAAUAAAAAUCAUAGGUUUCAUAAAAAUUCAUAUAUGUAAAUAUAUUAAUUAUUAUAUCAAAAUUAAUUGUCAGAAAAUUUAUUAUCUAAAUUUACAUGCUCAUUAAAUAUAUAUUAAAUAAUUUUAAAUUAAUUCAUAAAACAUAUUUUUGAAUAAAAUAAAAAAUCAUUUGGGCUACUUACGGAUUUCCAAUCCAUAUCAAUUUUAUGGAAUGAUAAAAUUAAAAUUAUACAAGUUAUGCUGAGUGUAUAAAAUGGGAAUUACGCAACAAUUUGCAUGGUGCGCGUAGCAAUAUCCUAGGUAAAAUUGUCGGAUUUGAAAUAAUGAAGCCCAAGUUGAAUUUGUAGUUUUUCUUGAAAUCUAAUUAAAAUUCAAGUGAAAUCCAAUUAAAAGCAGAAGAAAAAUCAUUCAUUGAAAAACUCUUAAAAGUAACUAAUCAUAAUUUAACUUUUUCCCUUUUUAUUGACUUGCCCACCAUCAGUAAUUCAAUUGAAUUCAUUUUGCAAAUUUAGAAUUUUACAAUCAAUUAAAAGAAUUACACAAGCAAUUAAACAAAGAAAAACAAGGAAUUGAUGUAGACUUCCAAAAUUUGGAUUCAAUCUACAUUUUCCUUUGAUAAAGUCAAUCGAAAUGAAACAAGAAGCCGUCUGGAAAUUAUCAACACAAUUGCACUCGUUAUUGUCAAGGAUAAAAUGGAUGUAUCUCAAUAGCAUAGAAAUCAACAAGUAUGACAAAAUAAAUAAAAAAAUGGAACUGUUUUGAUUACAAAUAAAAAUGCCUUGUGUAGAGCCUGAAAAGCACAAACCAAGAAUGAGGACAUGCACUAAAAAAAACUAGGUAUGUGAAACUUACCUUAUUAAAUUAUAAAAAUUUGAUAAAAUUAAUUGUUAAGUAGUUAAAAAUAAAAAAAUGACUAAAAAAAUAAUAAAAUUAUAAUUUAUUUUUAAAAAUAAACAAAAAAUUUGAUAAAUAUUUUAAAGAUAAAAAAUAUGAAAAAUUAGAAACUAUUUAAAAAACAUUAUUUUAGGUAAGGUGUCAAAACAUCAUUACUUUAAAUAAUAUUUUAAAAAACACUAAAAAUUAAUUAUAAAAAAACUUAUUAACCAAACAGUUAUAUAAAUUUUUCAACCAAUAAAAAAAAGUAAAAACUAACUAAAAUAACUACCCAACUUAACCAAACCAAAGUUAGAAAAGACAUAAUACAACUACUAUUUGCGAUAACAAGUUUUACAGGUCCGAAUACACAUAAAACAAUUUUAUAAACACAAGCGCAUCCAUCUUGAGCAUAAAAAAAGAAGUAUUAUCCAUGUUUUAUAUAUUCCAUCUGCAUUAGAAUUAAUCAUGUUGUUCAAAUUCUAUUUCUGAUGAUGACACCCACAUCGUGACUAGACAAGAAAAAGAAUCUACAAGGGUUAGGAAACUGCAACACCAUAGAAUACAAGAAUGUUGCUCCCUGUCGCGCACAAACACACACAACAUUGAUGUAUUCAAAUAUUAGAUUAUCGAAUCAGUUUCUAGCAUUCAGAUCGGAUCAUAAAAACAGUUCAAGCUUUUUGUAAUAAUACGCAUGAAGCUUGAGGUGAAAAUCGGCAAUUGAAAUUAACGCGCCUGAACAAGCGUCUCGAUAAUGGAAUUUUUGUGUUUGUAAAAUAUGAGUUGAAGAUAUUUAUUGUUGGCCCAGACUUAGUUAGUUUGUUGGGUUGGUGAAUCUGGGCUUCACCUUUGGGAAUUUCUUCCUGCACCCUGAAAUUUCUUGUACACCCAACACUUUUUUGAAAUAUUUCAAAAUUAUCUCUUUUUGAAAUAUUCCAAAACAUACAGAUUGACAAUCCGUAUGAUUGUUACAGAAUCCUUAAGAAUCAUAUGAAUUGUCAAUCCGUAUGAAUCACACAGAUUAUCAAUUCAUAUGAUUCUUAAGGAUCAUGAAUCCGUAAUGGUCUUACAGAUUACAAAUUUGCAAUGGCCCUACCUUUCCCACCCAUCGCGGGCCUCUUCUUGCAGCUCAUGGACUGUUAUGCCAACUCCACCAUACCGAAGCAUUGCCACCUCCUUGCCAUCGCCAUUGCCACUGCCCUUCGCUCCAACGUUGCCAUAGAGCACCUCCCCCUCACGCGGCUCGCAUACUUUGUCGCUACCAUCUCUACCCUCAACGACUCUGAGCUGGGGCUGGACCUCAUGGUGCUCUCCACCCUCGUGUCCUUCAUGGCCAUCGCCCUCCCUUUGGUCUCGCCUCGCCGAAGUUGUGUGAGGCUGCUGAGAUCCUCGUGACGACACUGACUAGGGAGGGGGAGGGAGUGGGCAUGGCAUGUGUGAGGUCACCACGAGCUUCUUGCCAUCGCCACUGCCCUUCGCUUCAACCUUGCCGUGGAGUGCCUCCCCCUUACGCCGCCCGUGUACUUUGUUGCCGCCAACCUUGCCGUGGAGGUUCAUGGGCUUACCGAUUGCGAAUCCAUAAUGUCCUUAUAGAUUAUGAAUCCAUAAUGGCCUUAUGGAUGGACAAUCCAUAUAGGUUAUACAUAAGGGUGUUUUUGGUUUUUCACUCUUGGGUGUAUAAGAAUUUUGCUGGGUGCAGGAAGAAAGUCGCUUAACUUUUUAUAGGUGAGCUAGUGGGAUCUAUUGCUUCUUGCACUCUUUCCUAAAUGUUUUUUAAACCUUCAGGAAGGUAAAAAGAAAGUGUAGGAAGCAAUAGCUGCUAGUGGGCCUAUUGGCAAUUUGGGUUCUACAGUACAAAUUUCAACGCUGAAGGAAUGUGAAACUCUUAUCCUUCAUUCAUUGCUUUUCUGUUGAAUAAAAAUAAUAAUAAAAUUAGGUGUUUGAUGAUUCAUAUUUGAAUGGUUAAUAUUUAAUUAGGAAGAAAUACCUUAUCAAUGAACUGAUUACUGGAUCCUCUGGUUUGUCUGGGAUUUAGUAAUUGAAUAUCUAAUGAGGUUAGUAAAGUGAACCUACACUCUUUAAUAGAAUUUUUUGUGUGGCACAAAUCUAAUAAUUCACUUUUAAACACAACCAAUGAGAAUUUUACGGUGUGAAUGAGGGUCUAACUUAAUUAAUUGAAUAAGGUGUGUGAGUUAUUAUAAUUUUUUUAUAUUAUUUUUUAUUUCUAUCGAUAAAAAAAUGAGAAUUUUACAGCUAAUAAAUUAAAAAAAAAAUCUAACAUUUUUUUAAAAAAUUCCGUUCAUACAAAUCAGCAAACCAUCCACAAUUAAAAUUUAUAUCUGUUUAGACAGUAAAGUGAAUCUAUCUACACUCGUUAAUUAUUCAAUAGAUAAUUUGAUUCUAACAAAAAAAAAAAAAAAAGUACACGGAAAACUUCAUUCCUGCAAAUCAGCAAACCUACAUCUUAUAUUGUUCAUCUUGAAAUAGAAAUAUUCUUAGAGAGGAUGAUCCAUGUAUUACAGUAUUAGAUGAAUGACUAGUUGGGUCAAUUUAGUUAUUUUCCUAGCAAAAGGAAAGGUUUGUGAUAGUUUUAUACCCGCGCGACAGUGAAAACAUAUUCUUAUCUCUUCUAGAAAUCUGUUGAAGCUCUGGAAAGUGGAAAGUGUUUUGGAGAAUAACAACAGAUACAAAGCAAAAGAGUAAGGCCUCUCGGUUCCUAUUAAGAUUCAGACUUUUAAUUUGUUCCUUCUCUCUCUCUCUCUCUCUCUCUGCAUGUUAGGAAUUAGUAAAUUAGGAUGCUUAAGUACUGAGUGGACAUUCUGUUAAGAAAUCUCUGGCUAUGAUGUUGGAGUAGAAACAUGUUCUCUCUACCUCGAAAAAAGAAAGAAAGAAACAUGUUCUAUGUAAUAAAGAAAUACAAAACUUUGGGCACAAGGGGUGCAGUGGCGUGAAUGCACUGGAGCUACAAUGGGCUUGUGAACAAAGCAAACUAACAAACGGGGCACGAUGCAACUUUGGGCCUAAGAAAAAUAAUUAAGGAUUUUGGGUUUAGGGUUAGCUUACAGAUUUAGCCCACCAAGUCUGCAGGUUUCACAGACCAAGCCUAAUUUGUCUAUAGUUAUGCUGAAUUUAGAAAAUUAAAUCUAUUAUCCACUAGUUCCUUGAACUUAGCAAACCCAUUCGCAGACCUUGGUUCCUAUACCUAUCCGCACUCGUACUCAUGAAUAAAUGUGUUCAUAUACCAUGAUUAAAAAAACUAUUAGUAAUGUUAUGUGGAACAUAAUAUAUAUCCUAAAUAAGAAUAACGACCGUGGAGUAAUACUGAUAAUAUAUAUUCUAAAUAAAUAAUCUUUAAAAUUAAUAGUAAUAAUAAUAAUAAGUAUAAUUUUAAUUAUUUUAAUGAAGCAAAGUGAAAAAACAACUUAUUAAAAUGAAUUUUUAAUAAAUGUCUUAUUUUGAGGAGAGAAAAACAGCUAAAUUUGAGCUAUGUAGUUUGUAAAUUAGUUCAUAAUAAUUCACUGGGCAUGCUCUUGUAUUAUUCGGAGUCCACUCCACGAUUGAGACUUAUGAAAUACCUGUUUGGUCAAUUGAACUUUGAGGCUUGAUACUUGAUAGAUACCCUAACCCUACCAUUUGCAAAUGAUUGACUAAUGUUCAUCACUGCCUGGUGGUGAGGUGAGUGGAGAACAUGGAUUUAUAAUUUUAUAUGAUGAUUUAAAGCAUUGAGUGGGUGUCACUGGCCCAACAUAUUUGGUAGUCUUUUCAUUACUUGAUGCCUUGAUGGAGUGUUUUUAAUUAUGAAUUAUAUCUAUAUUUAGUAUCCAAUAUUUUUUUUAGUAAAUUACACAAACACUUGUUAUUUUUUUUAAUUGUUACUGUAACCUCGGUUUUAGGGAGUGUUAGUAUGAUAUAUAAUGAGGUAUCAUUGAAAUGUUUUCAAACAUAUGUUUAAUAUAAGUAUAGAAAAGAAAUAAUAGUGUUAUGUGUAAAUUAAAAAAGUUUACGAGGUGCGAGUAUUAUUUGCUUUUUUUAAUGAAAUUGAAAUGUUAAUAUUUAUUGAUCAUAUUCUAUUUAUCUAUAUGAUAAAUGAGUGAAUGUACAUGGAUGAAGAUGAAGCACUUUAAAGAAAGAAAAAAAAAACGAAAAUCAACGCAUAGAUGCAAGUGAAGCCAUGAUCGUAAUAGACAAAAAAAUUAGGUGGCCCAUGACAGACCUUCAUCAGCCCGGAUUUUCGGACAAAUAACGCCUUCUUAGGCCCUAUCAAGUGAAUUAUUGAGUUAUAUAUGGACGAAAAUCACGGCCAAUUGGCAGAUCUAUUAAUAAUGUGAGAAAUUUUUAUAUUAACUAUCGGAUUAAAAUUAAUUAGUGUUAAGAUCCAUUUUGGAAACAGUUACUUACAAAUUGUAUUUAGGAAAAAAUUGAUUAGAGAUCAAAUUUUAACUAAUCCCACACAACGGCGAUUGGUAUGUAUCUCUUCGUUAUGUUUGUACGUGUAUAUUUCGUACCAAAUAGCAGAGGUUAAAAUAAUUAAAGACAUAUAGAAAAAGGAAAAAAAUAUUUAAAAUAUCUUAUAAGUUUAAAAUCACGGGUAAAAAUUAAAUUGUUAAAACAACAUUUAAAUCGUAGUGGUAAGAUUAUGUGCUAUAAUUAAAUUAAAUUAAAUUAUUUUUUUAGUGGUUUAUUGCGAACAAUAUCAGUUAUAUAUAUAAUAAAAGAAAUUAUUGAAGGUGAUGAGAGGGUCUGAGGGUGGAUAAUCACUCGUCAAAAGUUUAUCUCGUAGGAUUAAAUUAAUAGGAAUUGUAAUGUACAAUUAAAUUGAUAUUUUUUUGUUCAUUCUAUUGCAUAUGUAAUUUGUUUAUUAUGAUCAUUGUGCGAAACAGAUCUUUUCGGAACGAUAAAAUGGUUCUAUAAUUUUUUUAUUAAAUAUAUUCUGAGAAAUUUAUCCAUUAUUUAUCCUAAUCAGGUUUUAAUAGUAAUAUUUGUAAAAACACAUGAAUUAUGGUUGUUACUAGUUUAAUUGAAAAAUUAUCUGUGAUUCCGUAUUAUGUUGACUAUAUAUUUUUAUUAUUCGAAUUUAUUUAACAUUACGUUAAGAAUUUUAAAUCAAUCUCACCAGAGGACAAUUUACUAGAUUAAUCUCCAUGGUGCAUGCAUGUGGGCGAGUUUCAUAUUUUAUGUAAUUCCCAUGCAAGUUCAACAGAUGAAUGAAAAAGUAAGAUGCAAAUUCGUUGGAACCCACGUUUGAAGCCUCUCCAACGGAUUCCCAAAUCUAAUUUCUUAAGGGCAAACUUUCAUUGUAUUAGUUUUUUUAGAGUUUAUUGAAUUGAAUUAAAUUAUAUAAGUAUUACACCCUUCAUUUCAAAAUAAAAAUCAUUUUUGGUUGUUUUACACAUAAAAAAUAAUAAUAAAUAGGUGAAAGUAUUGAAUAUCAAUUUUAUAAAAUUAACCUUAUAAUAUCAUUAAAUUAUUUUUAAAUUUUUUAGUUCAUCAUUAAUAUAUUAUUAUUAAGAUAAUAAUUAUAUUGAGAAAAAAAAUAAUAUUAUACGACAUUAUCUUUUAAUUGUUUUUUUUCUUUGUGCGCAAAUAAAAAUAUAUAUAUUAAAAACGGUGCCAGAGGUACCAAAAAUACCAAGUAAGUGAUCAAUAAGUUAGAUACUAUUUCAUCCCAACGUUAUCUUUUAAUUGUUAAUUAUCUUUGACAUGAAGAACCCUCAUUUGAAUGAUAAUUUUUUUGACUGCACGUAAACAUUUCUAUUCAGAUUCUUAUGGAGUCUAUAAAAAAAAUACAUAUGGAAUCACCGAGUAUAAGGGAGAAAUUAAAGUACAAACGCAAACAUUCAUAUUUUUUUAACUGCACGUAAACAUUUCUAAUAAACGGAAUAAAGCAAGAAAAUCUUCAAGGAUCUUUGUUCACAUGCAUGAUUCAAAAAUAGUUUAAAAUAAUUAUCCUCAUUAAUAACAAUUAUAUAAUUAAUGAGUUCAAACUAGCUUAGAUAAAAAAAAAGUUAUAUAAUAAGUCUUUAAGUAUUAAAAAAGUGUUUAGUCAAAAAUGUGUAGCUUACCGUGUCCCGUCCUCCCUUCCUUUUCAGCCAUGCCAUAUAGUAUGAACCGUUUUCAUACGAAUUUCAAAUCAAUCAAUAGUUUAUAUUUUAAAUUAAGAGAUCUCUUAAUCUGAAAUAGUUAUCUAAUUUAAAAAUUUAUUUACCAAACAUGACAUACGAGACGUUAAGACACUUGUAAGGAGAUCCAAACAUUAUUUACAUUGAUAAUAUGUAUUGAAUAAGUGUCCAACACGUACCAAAAUUAAAAAUUAUAAUAAGAAAAGCAGAAUGAAAGUCCAAAAGUCUAGAAUAUACACAUUAAAAAACAAAGAUAAGAGGUCAUAACUAUAAGAUGGUAGUUAGACUUGUACUUAAAACAAACAAAUAAAGAGUAGAGGACACACAAAUGGUAGUUAAGAGGUAACAACGCGAUUUCAAAUAUAUAAAAAUACAUACAUUAAUUCAUAAACUCCACAUAUCAUUGAUUUCGUACCGUCAUUAUCCUCUACUCAAAUACUAUUUCAACUCUAAUACUUUGUCUGAGUUUUUAAAAGAUAUUAAAAUUAAUCAAAUGACGAAUGGUCAUUUUGUCUAAUCUAUUUUCAUAUCAUAAAUUAAAGGGGGAACUUCUCAUUCUUUCUUAUUUUUCGAUUAAAUAUUUUUACUAUUUCAUAUUUUCAAUUAAAUCAUAAAUGUACGCAUCACGCACCAUUUUUAUUUUUCGCAACUAGCACAGAAGAAAAACUCUCAACUAUUUCAGACAAUUUUUAUUUAUCUUUAUUUAUAUAUUUGAUCUUUUUAAUUGUUUAUCAUCUAUAUUUUUAUCUUUGAAUUGAAUUUCAUUAAUUAUUUUUAAAAAAACAUCAAUAGUUAAAAAAACCUGAUAUCAUAAGAGAGAAAAAAAAUUUACGUUGAAAAUGUAAACAAGUUUAUACAAUCACCCAACACAAGCCAGUAAACAAGUUUAUACAAUCACCCAACACAAGCCAUGUUUAAUUUAUUGAUUUUUAAAAUAAUUAUCUUAAAAUAAUUUAAAUAAUAAUUUAUGAUUGAAUAGCAAUGUAAAACUAUUUUAUAUCAUCAAUACAUAAACAUUUAACUAUUACAUAAUUUAAAUUAUUUCUUCUCUGUAUCAAUUAGAAUAAUUAUAUUGAACAAUAACAUUUUAAAUUUUAAAUAAUUAUCCUGUACCGAGAAUGAUUUUAAGAAUUUUUCUUUCAACAGGAGCAUUUAAUUCUAGGGAUUUUUUUCUUACAUCUUAUAUCUUUCAAUCUAUCAUUGCAUCUUUAUUUUUAAAUUGAAUUUCAGUAUUAUUAAAAAAUAUCAAUAUUUUAAAAAAAUUGUAUCACAUUGUAAAGUGUUUGUCAUAAAUUUAAAAUAUAAUUUAAAUGUUCAAAAUAUUUAUAUAUUAUAAUUAUUAAUGAUUAAUAUAAUUUAUAUUUUCAAAAUUAUUUAUUUGUUGUCAAUUUGAGUUCUUCCUCUCUCUAUAAAUUAUAAAAGCUACAUAAUUUGAACGAGUUGUAAUACUUUAUGGUGUAUUUGAUAUAGAGGAGAGAAAUAAUAUUGAAGAUAAAUUUUGUAUUUUUUUAAGACCUACACUUUUUACAAUCUAUUUUAAUUCAAAAAAUAAUUCUUCUAUUUUCAUCAUCUUUAUUAUUAUUCUCUAAACUAAACACACACAAUCAAGAACGUUUUUAGAUUCUUUUUUUUGUACGAGUGUUUUUAAGGAUUUUUUUUCUCAACAUUGUAUCUCUUAUAAUUUAUCAUUAUUAAUAUCCUUAGUUGUAACGUAAAAUUUUAAUAUAUUUUUUUUAAAAAUUAUCAAUAAUUAUAAAUAAUAUUGUAUCAUAAAAUAAAUUAUUUAUCAUAAAUAUAGAAUACUUUAUAUGUUUAAAAGUAUUUAUUUAUUAAAAAUUUUAACAAUAGUAUAACUUAUAUAUUUAAAGUAUUUAUUAUAAUUUUUAAAUGUAAAAAUAAACAUUUAUUCUGUAUAAUGAACAAACUAAAAUAAUAGUGUAUAAUAAACAUUUUUCUUGUACAUUUCACAGACUAAAGUAUUAGUUUAAAUAUAAAACAAACUACUAUGAGUUUUUAUAUAUCCUUUUUUGUAUUUUUACUCAAAAUCAUUUUUCACAUAACAUGGCCAAAAACAAAAAUUAUUCCAAAGUCAUUUCACAUAACAUGGCCAAAAACAUAAAUUAUUCCAAAGUCAUUUUCACAUAACAUGUCCAAAAACAUAAAUUAUUUAACAUAAUAAUCUAUAUCAAUAAUUGAACACAAAAAUAAUAUUUAAAAACAAUCGAAUUUAAAUACAUAGAUAAUAAUUAUAUAUAUAUAUAUAUAUAUAUAUAUAUAUAUAUAUAUAUAUAUAUAUAUAUUAAUUUUACCAUGACUAUAUCUAAAAUUAGUUAUAAAAAUAAUAUUUAAAAAAAUCAUCUAGUUCACAUACAAUGCUUGUUUAUUAUAAACACUUAGUUAUAUAAAAAUCUUGUACAUUUUUUGAAGUUCAGAUACUGGUUUAUUGUAAAUCUAAAAUACAAUUUAUAUAUUUAAAUUAAGAUACUUAUCUACAGAGACGGGGCCUGAGAGGGUUUGGCCCGACUUUUACUUUUUUCUAAUUUUAACUUUUUUAGUAUAGAAGAUAUUUUAAUAUUAGGUUAAUUUUACAUUUUUAAGGAUCUGAUUUUGGAGAUUUUUUUAGUUAUAUCAUGAUAUGAGUGUUAAUUGUUAAGUAAUUUUUAGUUUUAUAGAUGAUUAAUAUCCUUCAAAAAUUAUAUUUAAAGAAUUCAAAGUUAGUUUUACUCGAAUCAGCAGUAUGUUGUUAUUUGAUUAUGAAUAUAACAGUAGUUAUUUGUUAUUUUUUUUCUUAACAAUAUGUUAUUCUAUUCUUAUAGUUCUCAUAUAUAAAGAUAAUGACGUUUUUAAGAUAAAUAUUUUAUUUCGUUUUUUACAAACUUCAUUGGGAUAUUGUUUUAUUUUAUAUUUUUUUGCUUCUUAAGCAAAAUAUUUGAGUAAGUUUAGAGUCUUUUUAAAAAGAAAAAUAGAGACUAAGGAAUGAUUUAUUUUUUAAAUAAUGAAAAAUAAACAUCAUUCUACUUAAUUAUAACAAUUAAAAAUACAUUUAACCCUAAAAUUAAUAACGAAUUCCCAUUGUCUAAUACUGCUAAAAAUCUAGAAUUAAGAAGGAGAAGAAAGAAGAGGGAAAAAAAUGAGAUGGAACAGAUUCAUCAGUAUUCAGGUGGCACUCUACAUACACAUCUACCAGCUCAAAAAAGGGUGGAUCCUUGCAUAAAAUGACAUACAUGGCACAAAGGUAUCGGAAAAGUAGCUCUCAUUCUUAAUUAUUAUUUGUACUGGGGAGUAUGUUAAAAUCCGGAUCACGUGUGUAUUUCAAAAGAGAAAUUAACAAAAACAACAUAGUUCUUUUUUAUUGGAUACAUCAACAUUUCGUUACAUAUUUAACAACCACAUGAAAUAUGUGAAACUUAAAAAAAUUAAAAUUAAAAAAUAAUGAUAAUUGAGUGAUAAAAUGUGAAAUUAAAUUAAUAUUUUUUAUAUGCAUGGAAGAUAGAAGAUAAAUGAAAAAAAAAUACGAUUAUAUUAUAAGAUGAAUUAUUAUAAGGAAGAGAGAGAUAUAAAAAAAUAUAUUAAAUAAUUAAAAAUAUUGAUGCGAUUUUGAUAUUUAAGAGUGUCUAAAACUCUAAAAAUCAUUAUUGUUCAUAUUUAGAUUUAUUUGACAAGAUUAUAACUCUCGCUAGUAUAACACUUCGAGUAGUGGAGGCUAGGUACAAGUGUAUAACCGCGUGAGUGCUAUAUUUGUCACUUGAUUUUAUAAAUAUUUAAUUAAUUAUCUCAUGCAAAAAAAAAAAAACAUAAUUUUAACGUGAAAACUGGAAAUUUUACCGUUUUAUUCUAUUUUGAUAAUCCACAAAGAGAGCCUCGACUCUAUAUAAGGAGGAGAACAAGAGAGCAGGUGGCAUGAAUCCUUUGGGGUCUUGCUAUCUGCUUCCUCGUAGUACUUCAUUGAGAGAGGCAAGUUCUUAAGCCUUAGCUCUGCUCUUCUCUCUCAACUAGCUAGUUUCAGUUACUUUUUCCUUAGCCUUUUUUUUUCACAUGAACGAAACAUGUUGAUAUUUUUGGUAUUUCUUUACAUAUACUUUGGAUUUGUAAAAAUCAUGCUUUUGCCAUCAGAGAAAAAAACCUCGACUUAUACGCUCAACACACCACCGGCAAAAUAAACAUGCCCAAACUGUGCCACUCAUCCUAAAAGAAUGAAUUAAUAGUCACUUCAAAUGGAAAAAGACCCAUAUGUUGUAAAAAUGGUGCUCUUAUUUCUCCACUAUUUUUUUCCCAUGUAAUUAACACAAUAUGCCUUAAUUAUAAGGCCUCAUCAUGCUCUAACUUCUUACCCGUUUUUUGGUAUAUGCUUUUAGAUUUGUGAAAAUCAUGCAUGUUGCUAAUAUCUCAAAACACACAAUUUGCAACCACAAAAAUAAGAACAUGAUUCACUUUUAAAAGGACACAGUAAAUAUAUAUGCUGUCCAAAACGUGCAAAGUGCAAUUAUUUCUCCACAUUUUUGUGUUCAUGUAAUAUAAUUAACACAAUAUAUUCGAAAGGGUCUAUAUGCUAGCUCUGACAUUUAACACAAUUUUUUCUUGUCUCUCACCCCAGACAUGGACACUGUACUAAGUACUACGCUGCUACUCAUGUUGGCAUGCUCCAUCGUGCAUGUUCUUCGUUCACUACAAGCAAGAAUGAGAAGAAAAUCAAACUACAAUCUUCCACCAGGACCCUCUCUUCUCACCAUCAUUAGAAACUCUAAACAACUCUAUAAAAAGCCACAGCAGACAAUGGCCAAGCUUGCCAAAACCUAUGGCCCCAUAAUGCGUUUCACCAUAGGCCAAUCAACCACCAUAGUAAUCUCCUCAAUAGAAGCCACCCAAGAGGUUCUCCAAACCCAUGACUCAUUAUUCUCGGACAGAACAAACCCCGACAUCACAACCUCGUACAACCACAACCGUUACAGCUUGGUUUUUCUCCCUGUCU